Callithrix jacchus (white-tufted-ear marmoset) is the source of this 60905-nucleotide non-coding RNA. Lineage: Eukaryota; Metazoa; Chordata; Mammalia; Primates; Cebidae. The record is from RefSeq and is a predicted model, not a curated record.
AGAAGGAAGGAAGGACGGAAGCAAGGAAGGAGAAAAUUGAUGCUAACCUUAAACAAUACUUCCCUGGACUACACUUAGCUUGUUUGUGUUUUGUUUUCUUGCUUUGUUUUGCUUGUUUAUUUGCUUAUUCAUUUUGAGUCAUAUAAUAGCACUUUUGGCCAGGCACAAUGGCUGAUGCCUAUAAUCUCAGCACUUUGGGAGGCUGAGGCAGGCGAGUCACAAGGUCAAGAGAUCGAGACCAUCCUGCCCAACAUAGUAAAACCCCAUUUCUACUAAAAUGCAAAAAUUAGCUGGGGGUGGUGGCGCACAGCUGUAGCCUCAGCUACUCGGGAGGCUAAGGCAGGAGAAUUGCUUGAAGCCAGGAGGUGGAGGUUGCAGUGAGCCGAGAUAGUGCUACUACACUCCAGCAUGGUGCCUGGUGAAAGAGCGAGACUCUGUCUCAAAAAAAAAAAGCACUUUUAAACUGGCUGUGAAAAGGCUGCUUACAAGAUUUGUUAAGAAGAUUUAAAAUGUGACUCGCAGGCCAGGUGUAGUGGCUUAUGCCUAUAAUCCCAGCACUUCGGGAGGCCAAGGUGGAUGGAUUACUUGAGGUCAAAAGUUCGAGACAAGCCUGGCCAACAUGGUGAAACCUCAUCUCUACUAAAAACACAAAAAUUAGCCAAGUGUAGUGGUGUAAUCCCAGUCUGUAAUACCAGUUGCUUGGGAGGCUGAGGCAGGAGAAUCACUUGAACCUGGAAAGCAGAGGUUGCAGUGAGCCACAUUUACACCACUGCACUCCAGCCUGGAUGACAGAGCAAGACUCCAUCUCAAAAUAAAAUAUAAAAUAAAAUAAAAUAUGACUUGCACUGGCUGUAUGGAACACAUAGGAAGACCCCAGAAGAGUACUCAACAUUAAUCACAUGGUCAUUUGUAUUUUUAUUAAUUACAGUUCUGAUUCAAGGCAUGGAUUACUGUAUAAAAGAAAAAGAUCCUUUCUAUAGUCGAACCUGGGAAUCACAUAAUCUGGGUUUCUUUUAUUGUGCUUAUGGGGAAAUUGACCAUAACCCUCCUACAUUUUCCUCUACUUUGACAGCAGGAUGAAGUUCAAGGGAAAAAAAAUAAAAGCCCAAAUUGCUGUCAUGCUCAAACUGGGAGCACCAGGAAAUGGACAGAAAUCAGACUAGAGGCUUUAUGGAGCAAAGCCCAAUAGCUAAUAUAAGAUUCCUAAAAGAACAUAGCCAGAGUUGAAAAGCUUUGGGGAGACACUGGAAACCAUCUGAACUAAGAGAGUUAAUCAGAAAUGGGACCUCCAGAGGUUUCCCAUCUCCAGCUAAGCACUGCAGCACCUGAUCAGGUGACUUUGGUUGCUGAUGGGUGACAGCUUAAUUUACAAGAAUGCCAAGCAAGAGAAAUUUGAAAAUAAACCAAAUAUACACUUUAUAAGGAGAGGGAAAUGUGAUUCUGCACUCUCUAGCAUACUUUACCCGAAGCUUCAUCAACCCCAUAAUAAGAUGAUACCUUACCUGGAUGAAACGUUAAUAUUAAAUAUUAUGAGAAAUUUGCUGGAGAUUGUGCUGUACAUAUUUCUGGUCUAACUUGUCUCUCCUAUUUUAAUAAAGAAUAUGUAUGUAUGUGCACAUAUAUUUUAGAAAUUUCCAUUAGGAAUUAAUUCUGAUAUCUUAAUAGAUUAACCUUGCUGGUAUCUAACAUAAUUUAUUUUAAAAAUUAAAUUCCUACUACAGCAAAGAUUUUAAUGGGUAAUCUUUUUCUGGUAUCCCUCUGGAAAUCUCCAUGCCUGAGGCUGCACUAUUCCUAAAGGCCCGCUCCCCCGUGGACUCUGGUGGGAAGCCCUCCUGCACAACAGCUGUGAAAUCAGACCAGCAUUUCUAAGUAGAAUCUCUCAGACAAAGGAUGGGACUGUCAUCUACUACAGCAUUUUGCAAUGCCUGAAAUAUCUUAGUCUUUUGACACCAUUAGCCUUUUCACCCUUUUCCUAUCCUUCCUCUCUGGGCAACCAAGAGGCAUUUCACGAGUGUAGGAUGACAGGCAAACAUCUGCCUUCAUGUUGAGGAGGCUCAAAAGACCAAGAACUUAGCAUGUCCGAAUUCCGGGUGCAUUCUCAGAGAUAGGAUUUCAGCAACUCUUUGACAUUGACUUUUCUGAUGAAUUGUGAUUCCAACAAUCAUGUUACCUGCUCUACACAAACCUUCUAAGACAACUUUGCCAGGUCUGCACUCUGCCCCCACAAAAAAGAACACAAACAAAUGAAAAACUAGAUCGGGUUCUUCUACACACUUGAGGAGGGUAAAGGAAGGCAUCUUUUAUCUGCCAUUUCCCAUCUCACAGAGAACCUGUGAUUCUUUUUAUUUCCAGAAAAUAAUUGUUGGCUAGAAUUCUAUCCCCUACAUGAUUGGCUCCAUUUCAGCACCAUUUCUAGAUACCUGCCUGCUUGGGGCACUAAGGCUACUGCUCUGUCCCCAGUCCUGCCAUAUGAUCUUCUUUUUCUGUUCUAUAAAGUGGCUCCAAUUCUAAUUCAGAGGGUCUCAAACAAUCACUAUUAAGAGGUUUCUGCUGCAGCCCACUCUCAUGAAACAUGUUUUCAGUACCCUUGAAAGUGCCUGCCUUUGGUGAGGAAUUUCUUUUUCCAAUAAUCUUUUAACUAUAAGCGUAUGAAUGUAGAAUUCCCAAUAUAAACAUGAUAGAGUCCUAAGAGUGCCCGUGGGUCCUUUGCUCAAAGGAAAAGGCUUCUGUGAUUUCCAGUGAGCAUCUUUCUCCGCUAAGCUUGCUGGAGUCCUUCAGCCCCAGUAGAUGUGUUGCAAAAAGCAGUUCCUCCUCCCGCUUGGUGCAUCAGUGUGCUGGCAGGUGCGGCGGAAAUGUGAAGGGGAAUGGGAGGCAUUUCAGGAUGGGCAACCAUUUGAAUUCUAGAAGUCCAUUGCUAAUGACAGCCAGAGUUUAAAUUAAAGAAGAGUCAUCGACUACAGUUCUUUCUUUACUCUUAAAAAUGUAUUUUCUCUCCCUUCAGGUACCCAUUUUAUAAGUUUGAAAAAGCCUAAUUCAGAAAAUGUCUCCUAAUGUCAUUCUUGGUAAACACUGUAUUCUUUCAGUCUAAUCCAGCUGAGAUUAAGAGGAUUUUUUUAUCUUACUCUCUUCACUUACUGUCACAAUAAACUAUGUUAAAAUUCCUUUUUAUAAAAGAUUUUUAGUUUAAUUUCCUCCCCCUUCCUUCCUUUUUUCCUUCCUUCCUUCCUUCUUUCCUCCUUCUUUCUUUCCUUUUGUCUGAAAAUGUAUUUACUUUGCCCACAGCUGGAUUGAUAGUUUAGCUGAUAUAGAAUUAUAGAAAUCACCCAAAACGUUGUCAGCUUCACUCUCAUAAAAUUCUUCAAGUAACAUUUCUAAUUGAAUUAUAACAGAAAUAGAGAAGAGGGAACAAAUUAUCUGUGUAAAUCCUAAAGAAAUGUUCCAAAAAAAUAAACAUACUCUUAUUCCCUAAGGGGGGCUUGAGGUUACAUGAAUGCAUUUAUUAUGAUAUUGAGUACUUCUUAGCCACCAAAAAUGUCUAUGACGAUAUUCUUUCAGCUGAGUUAGGUGACAUAGUUGGUUUCUUCACUGCCUCUGACCAGGGCAGUGGGUUUCUCAGGGUGGUUACAUGGAAUUUCCCAAGCUCGUGGAUGGUAACCUAAAUUCUGUUACUUCCUCCUGGCUAAGCCCUAGUCUAGCUUUUACCAUCAUCCAUUUCUAUAUCUUUUUCUCAUUGUGCUUCUGACAAGACAUGCUCAGGCUGUUGGACUGACGUCUAGCUUUGUAUUUGGAAAAUUAAGAAUCACAGUCACAAAGUGCUUUGACAUUCUAGUGUGCUAUAGAGCUGCUUAAUGCUGAUGGAAUUGCUAUGGAGCUGUCUUCUUCCAAUCACAUCUUCACAGGGAGUGGAGGCUUUAUUGACAGCUCUGGUGGAUGAAGUUUGAAAUACAUGAACAGUCAAGAGAGACUGGAAAUGGAUGGUGGCAUCGCCAGCUUUCUCUCCUCUGCCUUUGUCUUGGUGUCUCAACCCUGUUGUAAAACACCCACUUUAGAGCAGAAGAGAAUUCAAGGGUCCAGUUGGGAGGGGCCAGUAGCUAUUUGAUAUGGUUCAGAUAUGUGUCCCUUCCAAAUCUCAUGCUGAAAUUUGAUCCACAAUGUUGGAGGUGGGGCCUGGUUGGAGGUGUUUGGGUCAUGGGGGCAGAUUUCUUGUAAAUGGCUUUGCACCCUCCUUGCAGUAGUGAGUGAAUUCUCACUCUUUUAGUUCUCACUAGAACUGAUUGUUCAAAAGAGCCUGGCACCUCCUUCCCUUUCUCUCUUUCCCUUCCUCUCUUACCAUGGGAUGCCUGGUUCGCUUUGCCAUCUGCCAUGAGUGGAAGCUCCCUGAAGCCUUCACCAGAAGCAAAUGCUGGCCCCGUGCUCCUAGUACAGCCUGCAGAAUCCCUAGCCCAAGAAACCGCUUUUCUUUAUAAAUUACCCCAGUCUCGGUAUUCCUUUAUAGUAACACAAAACCAGACUAAAUGAUAAUCCUUUUGUGGUUUUGGUUGCAUAGAUUCUAGGUGGGUCAGCAAAAAGAACUGAAAUAAAUCAUUGGUUUUAUGUCUCCAACAGCUCUGCAAUGUUGAUCAUGAGAUCCUGACAUGUUUCCAGGACAUAUAUGAGGGGAUGACACAGAUCACACUUUAAUCUCACAGUUUCUCCUGAACUCCAAAGUCAUUCACCUUCACUGUGCCUCAGUAGUCUACUCUACUGACCACACAUAGGAAUAUGAAAAUACUUGAAAACGCUAUGACUGUAAACUCCACUCUCUGACACCACCAUUCCCUCUUUCCGUGGCCCAUGCUCUCCCGCUACAUCGAUAACUCCAGCCCUUCAUGCCCUCUUCUCCAAGUUGGUUUCCUCUUAGCUUCAGAGAACUUCUCCAUCCAUCUUAGGAGAACUUACCUACCACCUUGUCCCUUCUCCAUUCUCCUCAAGUGCCUUGCAGAACCUGAUGCUGAGCAGCCACGCCAUCACAGCCUCUUCUACAGCAGGAUACUGAGCACAGCUGAGGGAAGCAAUAUAGCGCCACAAAUGGAUUUCACUAGGAAGUUAUGGCUUGAGGCUAACUCAGGCCAUCUGCAUCUGUUGGUAUUCCUCUGCCUUGACUACUUUACUUUUUACCAUUCUCUUCAAGCUUCCUACAUAUCCUUUAUAUUCUCAACAAAUGGCCUUGCCCCAGAUUUACAGAAUAAAUAAUCAGGUACAAAUUUUUUCAAACAUCGUACCCACCAACUACCAGCAGACUAUCUGCUUUCCUAUCUACCCUGCGUCUUCCUUCCCAUCCUAGCCAAAGUGUCCCACCUUCUGCUCAAAGGUACACCCUAAUCCAUGGGUACCUAACUCCAUUAAUGUGUCCAUGUGCUCUCUUGUACUUUCAAAAUCACUUCUUCUGCCAUUUUCUUUGAAAAAAAGGGGCAUGUUCAAAUUUAUACAUUUUUACAACAAUUUCACUCAAUUGUACGUUCCUUGCUGCUGGUCAUAUCCCUUUCCGUUCCUUCAUAAUCCACUGAAUGAAAGAGUGAUCUACAAUCAUGAUUUGCAUUUCCUUAUUUUCUUGGCACCCUUCAAACCAUGGCAGCUUCACUUCUUUAUGUGCUUACUAAUUCAUAUUUCAUUAAAAUGAAAAAUGGUCUCCCAAUUCCCAACGUGGCACUCAUCUGACUUUACAUCUCUCUAUUAUUGAUGUUAGCAACCAUUCCUUGUCUUUUCUCUUUGAAACUUGAGGCUGGGAGCAGUGGCUCAUGCUUGUAAUCCCAACAUUUUGAGAAGCCAAGAUGGGUGGUCAUUCGAGGUCAGGAGUUUGAGACCAGCCUGGCCAAUAUGGUGAAACCCCAUAGCUACUAAAAAUACAAAAAUUAGCACUGGGCAUGCUGGCUCACUCUCAUAGUCCCAGCUACUCGGGAGGCUGAGGCAUGAGAAUUGCUUGAACCCAGGAGGCAGUGGUUGCAGUGAGCUGAAAUCAUGCCACUGCACUCUAGCCUGGGCAACAGAGUGAAACAGUCUCGAAAAAAAAUAAAAGGAAAGGAAAGAAAACUUUAGUUAUUCUUUAAGACCUUAUUUGCAGUAAAAUUUGUGAAUCUAUGUGAUUGUUUGAUGAAUGUCCAUCUCCCCAUAUAUUGUAAACUCAAUAGAGAAAGAAACUAUGUAUCUUUGCUAAACAUGUUAACCCUAGUGCCUAGGACACAUAGUAGGUGUACAAUUAAUGUUUAAUUGAAUGGGUGGAUCAAUGAAUGCUCUCAUGAAAAAUAUAGCACCCUCAUUUAUCCUAGAGUUUCUCUUCCUUCUCUGGGCUGUCCUAUUCAGUUUCCCUCACUAGCCCACCCUUCAUAUGUGAUUGUUUUUCAGGGUAUUAUUUUUGCCUCUCUUUUCUCAAUCUUCAUGAUAUGUUUAUACAGUCUGUUCAUUGCUGUGGUUUCAAGUAUUCACUCUUUUCUAAGCUUUGGUUGAUAUAUCCAGCUUUUUACUAGACAGAGAUACUUUAAAUUUAUCUCUUUAAAAGCUGAUCUCAUCUUCUCCCUCUAUUUUCAUUCUAGUCUCUUCUUAUAGCUCAACUUAUGGCUACUGACAUAAUUAGCAGUGUCGCGGCCCAAGAGACGUGGAAGUCAAUGCAAAUCACUGCUCAUUCUUGUUCUCCGCGUUAUUGCUACUAUCACCAACCCUGCCGAUUCUACCCACCUAAUAGGUUUUAAUUUGUCUUCUAAUGACCAUUCCCACCAGUACUAUUGUUAUAAUUUCUUCCUUGAAAAAUAGUUUUCUAACUUGUCUCCUGGUUUCCAAACAUACAUUUUCAAUCUAUUUUCUGUAACAAAAUUAUAAUAAUUUUAUAGUUUCUUACUCAAAAAAAACAUUAAACAUUUCUGGUGCUUGUUAUAAGAAAUGGAGAAGAAUUCAUGGCAUCCACAAUGAAUGUAAGUUUGCCCUGGCUGUCUCUGCACUCUGUCCUCUCCCUGACCUUCAGCAGCACUGGGCUACUUACGCACCCUGACUCAGUUUGCAUGCUCACCUUUCCCUUCCUCUGCACUGACUGUUUCAUCAGUCUGGAGUGUGCCUGCUACUGUCCCCACGCAACUUGCCACCUGUAAACUUGCUCUUGCUUCAUAAUUUAGUUCAUUCAUUAUCAACUCUGGAAAGUCUUCUAAACUAACAUGUGUUACGUGCCCUCCUUUUCUUUUCCAUAGAACCCUGCCUCUAAUUCUGCUUCAGCGAUUAUCACAGUGUUCUCUAACUCUGUUUGUUUCUCUACCUUUCCACUGUGAAUGGUUUACAGGGUACAAACUACAUAUCCUUGAUGCCUGAGACACGUGGAGUUCAUAUAGUCAGUAUAAUAAAUGUGCAUUGAAUUAUUUUUGAGCUCUUCAUUAUCCAAGUAUGAAACAACUAGGCCCCUUUCCCAUCAAGUUUCUUUAAAAAAAAUUUUUUUAAUUUACCUUUAAGUUCUGGGAUGCAUGUACAGAACGUGCAGAUCUGUCACACAACAUGUGCCAUGGUGGUUGGCUGUACCUAUUAACUUAUUAUCUAGGUUUUAAGCCCAGAAUGCAUUAGGUAUUUGUCCUAAUGCUCUCCCACCUCUUGCCCCCCACCCCCCAACAGGCCCCAGUGUGUGACAUUUCCCUUCCUGUGUUCAUGUGUUCUCAUUGUUCAACUCCCACUUAUGAGUAAGAACAUCUGGUGUUCGGUUUUCUGUUCUUGUGUUAGUUUGCUGAGAAUGAUGAUUUCCAGCUUCACCCAUGUCCCUGCAAGGAUAUUAUGCAUUCUUUUUAUGGCUGCAUAGUAUUCCAUGGUGUAGAUGUGCCACAUUUUCUUUAUCCAGUCUAUUUUUGAUGGGUAUUUGGGUUAGUUCCAAGUCUUUGCUAUUGUAACUCACCAAGAUUCUUGACUUUAAAACAUACUGAAGUUAUCUGGAGUGAAAGAAUGAAUGUGCUCUCUACCACCUUGAGCUAUGGGAAAGGUAUUCUGCAGAUUUUGACACAGCAGCCUCAGAAGAUCUUAACUCAGUCACUCUAGGAUUCUUGUUCUCUCCUUGGACCUAAUGACUGCUUUGGGUGCUCAUGAGGUUUCAUUCCACAUCAAUGGCAAAGGCAGUUCCCAUAUGGCUUCUCUUACUGGUCAGAAGGCUUUGAUCUGGCCCCUUGAACUGCCAGUUGGUCUGUGCUAAUGGAACAGAGACUCACUUUCAUAUUGGUGUAAGACAGUCUGUUGUGUCUAAAAGUUCCUAAAAGUUAACUGUAAAUAACUUUUCAGAACUGAAUUCUCCAAUUCAGAUAAUUUUGAGUUAUCCAAAUUUGUGCAUCCCUGUCUUUGAACUUCCCCCAUAGUGCAGAUGGUUGGGAACUGGCUGAGAGUAAGGCUGCAUGUUGUGCUAUAUGGCUGCACACCCCAAGAACUAGAGGAGGCUUCACCUUUGAGACCUGAUUGCAACUUCCCUGAAGUCCAUGUUUUAUGUAAUGGCAGACUCACAGUAGAAUCAACCCAGAGAAAUCAUGAGGAAGACAGGAAUUUGGGGACAUUCCACACAUCCUCAUGGACUGCCUCCAGAGUACAGAGUCCCUGGGCAGUAGGGCCUGGCCUGCAUGGCAGGUAUCACCAUCUCAGAGUAGAAUGCCUCCCCCUCAAACCUUCUCAGACUGUGUUAGUCCAUUCUCACACUGCUAUAAAGAACUACCUCAGACUGGGUAACUUAUGAAGAAAAGAAGUUUAAUCAACUCACAGCCUCACCAGCUGUACAGGAGGCAUGGCUGAAGAGGCCUCAGGAAACUUACAACUGUGGCUAAAGCAGGUACAGUCCUCACAUGGCCAGAGCAGGAGAGAGAGAAAGAGAGAGAGUGAGCCAAGGGGGAAGUGCCACACACUUUCAGAUAGUCAGAUCUCAUGAGAACUCACUAUUGAGAGAGCAGCAAGCAGGAAAUCCGCUCCAUGAUCCAAUCAACUCCCACCAGGCCCCUCUUCCAAUGCUGGAGUUUACAAUUUAACAUGAGAUUUAGGUGGGGACACAGAGCCCCCACAGAAUACACAGACCAUGUGUAUUCUAGGACUUACCUGUUCUACACCCCAUGCAUUUGGGAACACACUGUUUGCUACCUUACUAGGUUAAAUCAUUGGUCUUCAUGAUCUUAAUGGUUAAUAAUACUAACGGCUAACAUUUUGGGGAUUCUUGGCAAAAACUAACAGUAUUGCCCUUAGUAUUUAGGUUUAUCUCCUUCAAUCCCACCUCAGUCCUUUCAGGUAUAUCCAUGCCUUGUCAUUUUUGCUAUUCUCAGAUAAAGACACUGAAAUAUAAAAGAUUAAGUUACUUGGCUAAGGGCACUGCACUCCUGAAUGGUGGAGAUGAAAUUCCAAGCCGGGUAGUCUGAUUGCAAAGCCUGCGUCCUCACUCCCAUGCUCUAAUGGGCUAGCAGUGCUGUUGCACCUGCCCCAUCCUCUGACUUCCUGCUGUCUGCACUUGUAUGUUCUGCCCCAGGGUGGAGUCUGCCUUCUCAUUCCCAGAGCCCCUCUGUCCUGACAGGCAGGCAGAAAGGACUGAGGCUGGAUUCAUGUCCACCCCUCUCCUGAAGUAGCUCCCUCAAUGUCUUUACGAGUUGGUGUGCACACAUUGCAGCUCUCUCGCCCACCUCCAGUGCAAUAACUCUGAGGUAUGUGUCCUACACUAGUUCCAAGACCGUCCCGAGUAGGAUGAAGUCCCAUUGGCUGGCAGCGGUUGCUUUUCUGACUGUACUUUCAUUUAUUUUGCAAAUAAGCAAAUUCUCUUUAUAUCCUCCUCUCAGUGUCUGCUUCUGUGAGAAUCCAUACUGAAACAAAUGGCUUGCUCCGUCAUUCACUCCCAGGUGCCCUGCAAAAACUUCCAAUGCCCUAAGGAAAGUAAAGACUGACAUCAAGGACUUUGAAGCCACGUGGUUGGCUGGCUUCUCUGUCUUGCCAGAGGCCCCGCUCUGCCUUGCUCUGCCUCUCAACAUUAUCUGCUUUACUCUCUUUCUUAAAGCAGAUGCCUGGUCCCCUAUGCAGGGCCUUCUCACCUUGCUGUGAACACAUUGACAAUAAGUCACUGAAUCUUGCUCCAUUGCACCUGCAAGAAUAAAUGAUUCUCACCUCUUCUCCCUGGGAUCAAGUUAUUUGGUGGCUGGUUAUUGUGACAAAAAUAACUGCAGGUGAAAGUGGCGAAUUGGCUUACUCCAUUCACUGCUACUCACCUGGAAGCCCAACCCACACCUUUCCAGGAAAAGCUGUCUCUAUCCCCACAGCAGGAACCCCACUCCAGGCACUUCCUUUGGCCUAGUUUUUGAGCACCCUCUGGGUUUGAAGUAAUGUGCUAGAUAUUCUUCCAGCCUGUAACUGGUGUUAGAAAACAGUCACUUUCAAGAAUAUCUUAUUUGCGCUGAGUUCUGGACUCCUGCAAGUUUCAGGAGAUUCUGGAGUUUCACAGGUCUCUCCAGACUCCAAGCAGUUGCCGGCAGUGAAUGCACGAUGAGCUCCCCAUUUCCUCGGCAAGGACAGUCCAGGGAAAGAGAAUACCAAAAAGAAACAGAAAGCAGAGGCAACAAUGUAACAGUUCUUUUUAUUGUACUGCCUGACUUUGACUUUUAUUUUUUACUAUUUUCUCUAAAAUGUAUUUUUAUUUCUUUUGAUCUGCCAAAAAGUAAAACAAUCACAAACACAUAUAUAAUAUUCCAUUUUCAAAAUUAACACAGCCUUUCAGGUGCACUCAGCUAGUAUUUAUCACAGGCACAGAGCAGCUAUGCAGAGAGUACAGCGGGAAUCCUGUUAUGGGCUGAAUUUUGUCCCCUCCCCUUCUCUCACAUUCAUAGGUUUAAGUCCUGACCCUCAGUACCUCAGAGUGUGAUAGUAUUUAGAGAAAGGAUCUUUAAAAAGAGGUAAUUACACAAUUACAUAUAAUCAUAACAAUUGAGCCUUAAUCCGAUAUGACUAGUUACCUUAUGAGGACAAGAAGAGGCCCCAGGAGGCACCUGCAUGAAGAAAGAACACAAUGGGGACAUAGCAUUCUCCACGUGCAAUCCACGGAGAGCAGCCCCGGGAGCACCUGCCCCUGUGGAUACCUGGAUCUUGGACUCCCACCCCCGGAACUGUGAGAAAAUAAAUUUCUGCCAUUGAAGCCACACAGUCUGCAGUGCUUUGUUUCAGCAGCCCAAGCCAAUUACUAAAAAUGCCCUGUAUGCAAAUAGGGCACUCGAAUUAAAACCACAGCAGAGCCACUUCACUCAGUGUUUGAUUGUGAGGAUAUCACUUUGUCUCUCUGACCCUCAGUUUUCCUCUACUGGUGAUGUGGUAAUGGAGGCAUUCUCUAAAUCUUCUUCAGAUGACUCAUGCAAAAAUGUGGGUGAAGGGACCCUGCACACAGGGGCUGGCUUAUCGGGACUCAAUAUGUCUUUGGUGAUUUAUUUUCUGAGAAUGCAAUAUGGGGGAGGAUUCAAAUUUCUUACACUUUAGCUGCCAUGUAAGUCAUAAACAUUUAUGAGGGUCAAAUAAAAAUAGAUGGUUGAUCUAAGUGUGCAAGAUAAAGAGUUCUGAAGGAUUGCAGAAAAAGAUGUUGGUGGAUGGUUUUAACUGGAGUAUACCAGGGAAGGACCUUCUGAAGGUGGUCCUCUUUCUAGCUCCGUAGCAUAGGCAGGAUUUGAAGAGUAGAAAAGGAGGAAACAGUGCAAGAGAUACACACCUGGAAACAUGGAAGUUGCUGGCAGUAGGGAGUUCUGCAGUUGUGAGGAUGGCCCGCGGUGGGUGGUGAACCAUGAGAGAUGACAGUGGACUCCUGAGGGCGGUGGGGACUGCCAGUGCUUUUCUCUUCAGAUGUUGGGAAAGGGUGACUGAGGGAAUUUCUACAUUAGGCGGGACACUGAACUGCAUUAUCUAUGAUCUCUUUCAACUACAAGAUUUCCUAAUAGGGUUUAAAUGUGAGUGAGGACUAGUUAGGUAUUUAGAUUUUUAUCAGUUGGGUAAUUGGAAACAAGUGAAGAGCUUUUUAAAAUGAUAUGAUAUAUGACUAUAAAACAUGCCUACAUAUUUAAUCUGACCAUAUGCUGGAAGCAUAUGCCAAGGAUACCAGUUAGGUGCACAGUGGAAAAAAGAACGGAGUGCUUAGCUUCGGCUCUACCAUUUCCUAGCUGUGUGAGAGAUCUUAGGAAUAUGAUUUCAUUUACUUAUUUUUGUGCAUGAAUUCAUUUAUUGGGAAGAAUUCAGCCUGUGCUUAUUAUCUUCCACACACACUCUGAGCAAUGGGGGAGUGACAGAAAAUGGUUACUGAUCUCACGGAUCUAACAGUUUAAUACUAACGAUGGAGGAAGCAGGAGUUAGAGGACACAAAACUAGUCUUCAGGGUUCAGGGAGGGCUUCCUGGGGAGAUGGUGUCAAGUCUGUCCUGGUAAAUGAUGUCCGAUGUGCACGUAAGCAUGAGUUUCCAUCUUUUUAUCCAUCGAGGAAAAGAGGAAGGGUGGUGUUUUAUCUGCCUACUUCCUCAACUUUAAGUGCAAACAAGAUAAAUGAAUGGAAGCUCUAAAAGCUGAAUACAUAUGGGGUAGCCUGCCACAAAAAAAGAAUUAUCAGAGGGUAGUGACUGACUGCAUGUGGAGGAAAGGUAAAGAGAUGCAUGAGAUCUGACUUUGGUUUUAACCUGGAGGAAUAAAAGAUUUGAGAGACCUUCAAAUUCCUUGAAAUUAAGUCUAAUGAUUUGGGAGGUGAUACUUGUUGCCUAAGAAGGAGGUGAUGAGGACACUGAGUGUGUUGACUUCAAGGUGACUUAUAAUGGAGGCGAUUGAAAAUACAGGCAGGGUUAUCUAGAGAAAGAGGAGUAAUCUACACAGAAGUAAAGCCUUGGGCAAGUUCAGUGUUUAGACAAAGAGCAUUCGUUAUGUCAUUUUGAAAAAGAAUGUUAGAAUGUUGGGGAUUUGUAUCUCUGAGGCCUGGUGGGCUCACUGCUAGCUGUUGUGGUCCAUGAUGGGGACACAUCUGAGAUGUAGAAUGAAGACCAGCAUGGCAUCCAGAGCACACCAGCUUCUCAAGAGAUGCUCACUGAACCCUUGCUGUGUCCACCAAGAAGUGAUUGGGUGAUGGGAGAAGACGCUGUAGCAGCCGGGACAUGUGGACCCCACCCCUCAUCCUAGAAAUUGUUCUGGGUGCUUUCAUCUGAAGCACAACCUUUCUAAAUGUUGUCUACACAAAUUCCUUCACAUUAACUCACUUUGAAACAAGAAGCAGCAGUGGAAAUAUAGGCUGCCCUAUCAUUAAAUGAUCACUUCUGAAAGUAUCUUUUUGGUAAGAAGUUUUCCUCCAGACAAACUAGAUAGCACUUCUUAAAGCUUCUCAGCUCAGGCAGGGGACUCCUUCCCCACAAUUCUCGCUACCGUAGUGGGCCCUUCUCCGUGGCUUCUGUGACUUGGGUUACCUGUGGUCCAUUGUGGCCUGAAAGAUUAAAUAAAAAUUCCAGAAAUAAACAAUUUAUAAGUUUAAAAUUGUGUGUGAUUCUGAGUAGCAUGAUGAGACCUCACGCCGUUCUGUGCCAUCUUACCCCAGACAUGAAUCAUCCUUUUGUCCAGCAUCCCCACCCUGUCUAUGCUGCCUGCCUGGCAGUCACUUGGCAGUCGCCUCGGUUAUCAGAUCAACUGUAGGGAUUAUUGCAGUUCAUGUGUUCGAGCUGCCCUUAUUAUCUUAAUAACGACUUCAAAUUGCAAAAGUAGUGAUACUCAUGUGUCGUCAUAAUUGUUCUAUUUUACUAUUAGUUGUUGUUAAACUCUUACUGUACCUAUUUCAUAAAUUAAACCUUAUCACAGGGAUGUAUAUAUAGGAGAAAGCGCAGUAUAUACAGCUUUUAGGACCAUUCUCAGUUUUAAGCAUCCACUGGGAGUCUUGGAGCUAUUCUCUGCUGAUAACAAGGGAGGUGUUUUAUUCAAACACGGAAAGUGCUUUCAUGCAAAUCUUGUCCAACCCCCCCAUUUCACAGAUGAGGCAAGGGACAGUCACCUUUUUGUCUGAGGUGGUAACUGAAUCCAGAUCUGAUACCUGACUGCCCACCCAUUUGUUGUAGCUCUGAAAAUAUCCCAAAUGGCUGUGAAUGACCUUGGCCAGAAAAUCCAGGUAUCAAUGCGGAAGGAAGCCCUUCUGGGGUCCCUAAUGGGUGCGUUUAGGACCUCAGGGAGUAAUAUUGCGGGGGCUGUUGAGCCAGCACUCAGUUUCCUAACAGCUUAUCUCUUGCAGCUCUUACAGGCAACAGCUGCACGCAGUGUGUUCUGACUUCGGCCAUGUCUUGUAAAGCAGCUUGGGUGCUGGUGCUGACACAAGCAUUCCUCGUUUUGCCGUUGUUGGAGUUGAAUAUGUUUGAUUCCUUUCUAGUCGCUUUUUUCUUCCCUUCCCUUCUCCUCUUUUCCCUUUCUUGUGUUUUAUUUCCCUGCCUUUGUUCUCAUUCCCUGGUCCCCAUGUGGAUGUCUGGUACUAGAGUUACAUAAAUAAUCAACUGCCUCUUAGGAGUGGGGGAUGAAAAACAACAGGGAUUCAUUUUCCUGAGAGCUCUGGGUAUCUGAAUAACUGGCCCGCAUUGGUCUCUUACUGAGGGUUACUUGCCUCUAGGAAUUGCCUUUGGGGGUCUCUUCAGAGGAAAACACAAAAGCACAAAACGCAACUGACCAAUUGUGCAAAACUGUUUGUAGGAAAAGAUAGUGUGGUUGGGUGGGGAAAGGAAUUCUCUGUGACCCCUGAGGUGGCCAGCUAAAGCCGCGGAGCCCCUGAAGCAUGAAAUUUGAUUACCCUUAUCUUGGUGCACAGCUCCGAUACUGCUGUCGGUCAUUCAAUUACCCAGCAACCUCUACAAAUGUCUGCAGCCGAAGUAAAUACGGCAUUAGGAGAAACACGCCAUCUUCCUUGUGUGGUACCUCUGAAAUGGCAACAGACCUUACGCACCAUGGAAAUAGGCUUGACCAGAGACGAGCCUGGGCUUUGAUCAUUACUCCCAAGGGUUUUUAUCCAUGACUGAGUGCUUCUUUGGCUCUUCUAAGAUAACGUCGUCUCCCUUUUCAAAUCAGAUAUUUAAAAUGGCUUGGAGAGAUCUGCAGGUGAUUAAGGAGUUUAGAGAAUGAAACCACUGAAGAAAGGCUAGAGAACUAGCAUGUUUAACUUGGGGAAGAAGUCUGAGGAGUGAUUUAAUAACUGUCUGCAAAUGCAUAUAAUGAUGGAGGAGCGGGGGGAUGACUAGCUGCUCUGACCAUCCUCUAAAGUCAAAACAAGAGGAGCAGUCACAGUCACACACAGUGCAGGACUGCGCCAUCAGGAGGCCCGUGCCCAGUCCAGGCCCUUCCAGGAAAAGUCCUCUGUGUGACCCUGGGCACCCCCUUCCCUUGCUUCACACUGGAUGACCUGCUUCCCAUUCCAUGUUUCUAAUUAAUCAUUAGAAUAGUGGUUAGGUUUAAAAAAGCCAAGUUUGCACUGACUGCUGUGGUCGUUCCUAGAGACAGAAGAAGCCUCUAAGUAAUACUCAAAAAAGAUUUUAGGGACAUUUCCAGAGACAAGAGAUUUGGUUAUUCAUAGAGAGAAGUAAAAACUGUUUUUUGGUUUUUUUUUAGAAAAUAAAACAAAAUUUUAAAAAUGGAUCUGGAAGAGUAGGAUUUGGGAAGGAAUUAUAAGUUUCCAUCAAUAUGGACAAAAAGUCAACAAUUCUAAUCCCUCUCUUUCUAACAAUAUUCCCAUUGUCUUCCGGCUCAGGAAAGAAAAUCUAUUUUGUGACUUCUCCAAUCUCCUGGUUAAUGCAGAUAGCUGUUUGGCUCUGCGAUUGUUUACAUUAUCUAACAUAGCUGGAACAGUGAGCAGUUAGAGACUAGCUGCCUGCUGUUGGUCUGGAGCUUGUCAGAGGGGCACAGGUCAACUGGUCUGGGAAGUGGGUGGGGGAUGCUGUAUGGAUAUACUAGUUAUCAUCUGUGGAGAAGGAAAGCCCUUUCCUCUGCUCUCUGAGAUUCUGUGGCUAAAGCCUGUGGAUGAUGCUGACAAAAGACAGAUCAACAGUAGAAAAGCAUACAAAUUUUAUUUGAGGUUAAAUAUUUUUUAUGGGUAGGGGCUUCAUAGGAAGAAGUGAAAACUCUAAUAAAGUGGUUAGGCUUGAGACUUAUAUACCAUAUUAACAAGCAGCAAUAAAAUGCGGAGAUGUGACAAGACAGGAUAAAGCAGUGGCGAAGCAUGAGUGACUCAAAAAUACAUGAGGAAACCAAUGGAAGAUAAGGGUUGUUUUAGUAGGGUUGUUUGUACUAAUUCAUCGUGGCAUUGACUCUCUGUCUCCAGUAAUAAGAGCAUUCUCCUCUUCCUGGUACAGGGAGGGCAACUUUCUUUUAUGCCCUGCUUGUAGGUAGAAAGGGGGAUGGCAGAGAAUCCUUCCUACAUCUGAUGUUUCCCAAUUUCCUUCAGCUCAAAAUGAUCAAUAGACCAAAGUGGUAUAUUUGGGGAUGGCAUGUUCUAAGCCUCUGCACAUCCUUCCUAUGAAGGAUGGUAUAGCAGCUGGGAGGUGCAGAUACAUCUUAUCCCCAGUCUGGAAACUCAGUCCCUCUUUCUGUCCUCAAUUUCUCUAGAUAUAUUUUCACAAAGGUUGCUGUUGAUCUUUUGGAAAGAAGCUUAGCUGCUACAUGGUCCAGGAUAGCAUUUGCAGGUUAAGUAUUGGCCAUUGAUACCUGCAAAACCAGGCUACAAGAAGACCCACCCCCCAAAAAGGUCCAGAUACCAAGUUCCAUGACAGUGGAAGCAGGUGUUACUUAGCUGCAGUCAAACAGCACCCCUGAUGCCAUCCCAACUACAAAGGCAGUAUAUUCUAAUUAACUGCAAAUGCUUUACUCAUAAAGCUGUCAGCACUGGGCUCUAAUGUCGGUACUUUUAAUGAUGCAUUUGAUUAGAAGGUAAUUUUAUUCACUCAGCGGCAGUCAGACCUGUUUGGUGAGGGUCUCUUUUCCCCUCGUCUUUCCCCCACUUUUUCUCUCCUACUUGAAACAUUUAUGAAGUUGUGAUGUUCAAAACAGUCUAACGAGUAAAUAAGUAAAUCCAUCAAAGCAAUGUCAUAAUGUCUGCUCACCAUCAGCCUCUUUGUGUGUGUGCAUGUGCUGUGUCACAUAACAGGAGGAAGUGAAGAGUGAGGUGGUGCUUUUUUAAUUUCACAUGAGAUUCACAUCUGGAAUCUCUGCUUUUACAACCGAACAUUCUCUUCUCCUUACUCCAAGUCCUAAUAACUGUCAUGACUUUAUAGUGCAUCAAAUUUUGCACAUCCAUUCCAUGUUCUUUUAUGUCACUUAUGCCUCACAAUAAAACUAUGACAUAGUUAUACCUCUGAUGAAGGAACAGAAACUGGGAGAUUUUAUUAUAUGUCUGAGAAACUCAGUCAGUAAUUCGGGAAUUCAAAACUAGAUCUCAGUCUAAAUCCUAGGCUUUCUCUACCACACCAUAUGGUUUCUCAUCAAAGAGCUGUUUUUAUCUUUUUUCUUUGAAAACCAAGUAUGGAGCUGCCCACACUGGAAAUUCACUCUUGCUGGAGGACAUCUGGGGAGCCACUGGGGCUGGGUUCACAAAGCCUCUGGUCUGCUUGGGUCAGGCCUUCUGCUAUGGAAGCAUACGGUGAGGUUCAAGGCAACUAAAAGUUCAGACUUGUGAGUAAAUCCAGCAGCCUACAGUGAGUUUGUUUCAUCUCUCUUCCUCUCCCUCGUCCCUCCUGAUGAGGCUGGUGGGUCUCUUCCUUACAGGAUCCUAAGCCUUUUAUGUUGUGUGUCCAUUUUAAUCUACUGACUUCCGAUCUCCCUGCCUGAUCCUCCCUCCCUUCUUCUUACUUUCCACACCCCCUCUCCUUUCACAGUAAGAGCUUAUCUUCAUUGAGGGCUUACUGGUUGCUUGUUCUUUACAUGUGUGGUCUCAUUUAAUUCAUGUGUAAUGUAGGUAUAGUUAUCACCCCGUGACAGAAACCAUGUCUCAGGAGGUUAUGCAUACUGCCAAGGUCACAGAGCUGAUGAGGAGCUGCAAGUCUGACUCAGAGCCUGAGACCUCCAUUACUGCUUGCAUUCAUCAACACAGUGAGGGGACAUAACUACUCUGCUUAAUACUGAGCUAGGUGCGGUGAGAGGUGCCAAAAGAGAGAUGGGAGAUGAGGCCGUUUUCAACUGGGGAUCUCAGGAGACCUCUGCCCUAAAAUUACAAUGGAAUGUUUUUCCAACAAGACAUGACAUUUUCACCCAGGAAUCUUAAAACACCAUGGAGUGCGAACUGUUCUGUGCUGCCAACUCUCACCCCCUUUUUUUGAAUUGAAAGUCAGUAAGGUUAAGCAGUAUUGACAUGUGAAGGGAUUUGAUCUUGGGUUUUGGGGUACAGGGGCCAAUCUUUUCUCCAUGCUGCUACACUGCCUGCUAUUCAUCAAGGGGCAGAAGAGGAGAACCACUUGCUGUACCCAAGCUGGAGCUUAAUUUUUAUCCUCAAAUGUUUCAUCCCUAGCUACUCCUUAGGUGGUUGAUUAUGCUUCUAUGAAAUCUCCAUUUGAAGGAAAAUCAUAUCGUAUGCUAGAACAGACAAAGGAAGAGCUCAUGACCUUGCAUUGCUUCUCAUUCUGCCUCCCUCCUUGAUAUUCUCUUGUGCUGCUAGCAGGGAAUUUGACACAUUAUUAUUAAAUCUGUUUGCAAAUGUGUGGAAAGCGCCCUGAACACCCUCCCUGGUUAUGAGAGGUGGCAGAUCCCGUGUCUGAAUCACGGGCUCCUAGAAGUACUUGCCUUCCCUUUUCUUCUCCCUUUGCUUCGCUCUGAUUGUCCACAUUUCAGAAACAGUAAGGAUACUAGUACCAGAUCGGCUGAGCCCUGGAGCAGAGUCCUGCAACCUGGAAAUGCAGCACUUAGCGAAAGUAGCCAAUUCAGGAAGACCUGCCUGUCCUCAGUGAAAUGGGCUCCAGCUGGCCCUGAGGUGCUGGGGUGGGCGGCCAGGCUGAAGCUUCCUCACUGUCUGCAUGCCGUCUACUUUUAUGAUGCCUUUUACCAUAUGCAAUUAAUUAACUGAGUUAUGACCACCAAACAUUCUAGGAAUGCAAAGUACCAGAUAAGUGCUUGUUAAAAGUAGUAACUUCAUAAACGAAGAAGGUUUGGGUGUCGUGGGGGACUAGAGAGAAAGCUUCUUGCUUCAGUUAGGGUUCAAGUCCUGUGCUUCUGUUUCUUAGGUCACCAUCCCAUCUGGGUCUACAGAAAAGUUGAAGGGGAGAGGCAGAGAAAUGAAUGACAGGAGCUGGCUCUCCAACACCUCGCCCUGACCAUAACAGUGGGACUGUGAAUGCCUUUGCCACAAUCUAGAGCUUAUGAAAGGCUGUCACUUAGCAUUUGUACCUCUCCCCAUGAGCACCCCCAGCCUCACCACACUUCAUGCCACUAUGCACCAAGAUGAGUGUUCUUUCCAUGUAAUUUGGAAAGUGGUGUUGCCAUACAAACGUAAACAUGUAUUCAGUUCUUCGUUCAUUCAGCAAGUAUCUCUAAGUAUCUCUAAGCAGCCAACUGUGUUCUUGGAACUAAGUUCUAAGACCACGGUGAGUGGAAAGGCAUGGUAGGAUGCAUUGGGACGCUUUCUUCUUUUUAAUCCUUUAAAUUGAUCAUUUUCUGCUUCUGAAUAAAAAUCUUAGCAGGGCUUUUUUUCUGAAAUAUCUAAUAGAGUCAAGCUGUUGCCUUGGGCACUUAAGUGAGAAUACAUGAAUUCAGUAGAGCUUAUUAGAUGACAAAUGAUGCAUUCACAACACAUACACACACACACACAGACGCGCACACACAGUAAAACUGACAGGGAAAUACUCAUUAACUGCACACAGAAAAGGCUUUGCACAGGUCUGGGAAGGCUUCCUGGAAGAAGCGAAAACAAAGUGGAAUCUUGUGGGGUGCUGAAAACCUGUCCAGCAGUUCCCCCUUUCCUCAGGGGAUACAUUCCAAGCCCCCAAGCAGAUGCCUGAAGCUGCCAACAAUACCAAAUCCUGCAUAUACUAUACACAUUUUUUUCUUCACAAUUUCACAGAUUUGGUCUUACUGUAGAUCUUGGUAACCUCAGCAUACAAUUUUUUUUGGUCUCCCUAUCAAUUUGAGAACUUUCGCCUUUUCCCUUAAAAGAAGCACUUUACAGUUUCUCUUUGACAUAUUCAAAUUGCCAACUUUGGAGCCAUUGUGAAGUCAAACAAGAGUUACUUGAAUAGAAGCACUGCAAUAUCACGACAAUAGAUCUGGUUGGGAUUUUCCAGGUAAUAUUUUCAGACCAUGCCAAACCACGGAUAAAGGGUAUACUGCUAUAUUUAACAAAUAACCAGGCUUUGGUUCAGAGCUGCCCUCCAAUCAUGAAAUGUAUUUUAACUGAAUGCUGAGCAUCCCGUCCUUGCCCCAGGCAACCUGGUAACAGCAGCUUUUAACAAAAGACAAGCAAUUAAACAGGCCCAGCUUGCUCCCCCGGGGGGCCUUUGCUGUCCCUUUCAUGCCCCGGCGUGCUUCUGUGCUGGGCCUGCUCCAAGAAGGAGAUGAAGCCUCUUCCUAGUUCUGGUUUUUUUUCUGAUAAGAAGGCCCCAGCGCAAGGUGCAAAAACUUACAGAGAAUUACGCAGUGCCACUGGGACACUUUGCUUUUAAAUUGAGACCUCAGCACAUAAAAAGUCUGCCACAAAUGCUGAGGUUUGGCUUCAGAAAUUAAGGGCUGUCACUUUAAACUGAUUUCCUUUCCCUGGGCCUGCUCCUCCUGGCCCAGCCUGGGCAGAGGGAAGGGAUAUUUUAAAGUGACAGGUUUAAACAGCCUCCGUGUGUGCGGUGCAAUCAUUUUUCAUGCGAAGCCUCCUGGGCUCAUGCUGAGGUGCUCUGCAGGAUCCAAUCUCCUUCUAUAAAUUCGUGGGAGGCCCCAUGCUGCCUGGCAGCAAGAGCCGUAGGAGAGGCUGCUCAAGCGGGGCAGGUGGCAAGAAGCAGGGCUCCAGGAGGGGAGGCCCGGCCAGCAGGGCGCAGCAUCCUGGGAGGGCCACACACUUCCGCGCUGCUGAGCACCAGUGGGCACCUCGGUUUCGGGCUGGCCCGUGGAAGAUACUGAAUAGUCUGUGAAUUAGUUUGAAAAUUGUCUCUGAGAUUCUGUUUCCAUGAGGUAUAAUGGAAAGAACUGGAAUUAGAAGCAGAAAACUCGGAAUUUAGUCCUGUUUCGUUCGGUGUUUAUGUAUGCUCUGUGACUUUCACUACAUUUAACCUUUGUGAACCUCAGCCUCAAGAUUUCCACCAGUUUCUGUCUGUAAAACCGGGAUGUGGGGAACAGCUGAGUGGGUGAUGGGAACAUGUCUUGUAAAAUGCAGUGCUGUACCAAUGAAUGGCAUAUACAGCUUCACGCAGCAGCGGCGGCAGAACUGGAAAUCAGUGCUUGCCCAGCCUAGCAGUCUCUGGCUGCAAUUAUUCAGAGGCAGCACAAUAAUUAAUGAAUGGGACACCUCCCAUCCCAAGGACAAAGGUCUCCCAAUGAACAUGAAAACCUCACCUAAGACGCUGGAUAAACCCGGCCCCGGCUCUCAGGGCAGAGUCCCCACGGUCCCGGCCUUGUUUGGAACACUCCACUGCUGCUCAGGAAAUGGACACUGGUCCUGUCGUGCUCUGGGCUGAAGCCUGACCCAAUUUCCUUUUGCAUGUGGCCACAGGGUCCAGUGCUUGCACCACAGGACAUCUUAGAGAGCGGUACGUCCAGUGUUUCUUUGCUGGGACCUCUAGGAAACUGUACUCAUAGUGCCUGAUAAUAAAAAGGCACUCUCUUUGGAGACAGGUGGCCUCCUGGCUACUGUCUGGCUUUGCUCUGCAGAUGCCCAUCAUGCUGGAGUGCCACUGCAUUUCCAGACAAAGCAACAGGGAACCCAGCCUGAGUGGGAGAAAGGAACUGCCUUUUUUUUUUUCUUUCCUUGCUUAAAAAUCCUGUGAUUUUCUGAGCAAUUCUUAGGUUGCUGGCUGUACUUCACAGCCACCGAUAUAUUUAAAGUUUCGGUAUUAAAGAGCUCAGCAGCCUAUCCCAGGAGGAAAUCACCUCCCCAAUUCAAGUCAGCCAGGUGCCCUCUUGAGACAUGUGGAAUUCGUGUCCUCAGCAAAAAGCUCUCUCUUUUCAAACUGGGAGAUGGCAGUACAUAGGCCUAUUACUGGAGUAGACACGUUUAUGAAUUUCAACAUCCUAUUAGCGGUGAUGAUCUGACAAAAUCACAAGAAUGAAGAUAUUUGGGUGUACAGCUGACAGCUGAUUUAUGUGCUUAGAUGGCACCAGGAUGUAGUGUGCCUCCAAAGAAGCCCUUGAGGAACCGGUGCAGGGUGCGGUUGGGGUGAAACAGGGAUCCCGUGUGUAGGGCACAGGCGCCAUCCUUGGAGUUCAUGGGGUCCCUCCAGGGUCAUUGGUAUCUACUCAACUGAGGCAGCAGCAAAGAGGGUGUGCAGAGGCAAAGGCUGGUGAGGACAACAUCCUUCACUCACACACUGGUCUCCUUGAAACAGGUUUGAGCUGACAUCAGCGCAUUAGCCAAGGCAAAUUUCUUUUCCUCAGAUGCAAUAAUGUAACUAGAAUUGACAAAAUGAAAUAUAAUUUGGAAUCACUAUCAAUCCCAGUGAGAUUGGCUCAUGACAAGAAUCUAUGGAGCUGCGAGUGUCUAAGAGUGGGUGUCAAGGGACUUCCUCUCUCAGGAUGCAGGGUGGACUUGGGCCUUGCCGUUGUUAAUUGGACUGGUUUGGGAUCCUCUGGGCUGCAUUGACUAUGUACCCAGCUCCUCCUCCUCUCCCCCAGGGUAGAGUGACUGCGCUCUUUUAUUGGCUUUUGUGCCCUCUAAAGCUCCAUCUGUAAGAGAAAAACUGAAUUGAUCCCAUUAGCUUGAUUUUAGUAGUGCUGGAGAAGGUAAUGGAUUUCAGCUUUGCUUGCCAUUUAAUUUAGAUGUUAAAAUAUCACGUGUGAUUGACCUAGAUACAUCACUGCCACUGCCACUGUGAGCUGGCCAUGAACAGGAAUAGAUACUUGUAGGUCAUCAUUUGUGAAGUAUCUAGUUAAUUAGGGAAAGUGGACCACCGAGUUGUGAUAGAAUCCCUUUGGGGAUACAAAAAAGAGGAGUUUGUCAUCGAAAGUUCUUUGGAUCUCAGUCAUCACCAUUUGAUGAUGGGAGCUCUAUCCUGGCUGGAGUGGAGCACCCCUAAACCCCCCAAAACAUAAACACGAAUUGUAGCAUUCUUUAGAACCACAGACUAUAGCUCCAUGAGGGCAAGAGCCAUAAAUGAGGUUAACGCUGUGUCCUCCAAGCCUACUCCAGUGCCUGCCAAGGGGCAGGACGGGGAAUGGAGUUCAGGUGGUAUGGAGACAUAGGGAAUAUUUGUUAAUGAAGUCAUAGCACUGGAAGAAAAUUUGGGGUACAUCCAGUUAAUCUGUAUCCCUGCUUAAUUAUCUCACUCAUAGAGGGCUCUGCAGUGACCAUGGAAAAAUUUCUUUUUCUUUUUUUGUUUUUUUGAAAUGGAAUCUCGCUGGAGUGCAGUGGUGCAAUCUCAGCUCACUGCAAUCUCCACCUCCCAGGUUGAAGCGAUUCUCCUACCUCAGCCUCCUGAGAAGCUGGGACUACAGGUGCGAGCCACCAUGCCCAGCUAAAUUUUGUAUUUUUAGUAGUUUCACCGUGUUGGUCAGGAUGGUCUCAAUCUCUUGACCUUGUGAUCCGCCCACCUCAGCCUCCCAAAGUGCUAGGAUUACAGGUGUGAGCCACCAUGCCCAACCCAACCACAGAAAAUUUCAAAUCCCAGCUCUGUCACUUAAUUGCUGUGCCAACUGGUGCAGGUAACUUAACCUCUCUGCAUAGUUCCCUCAUCUGUAAAAUGUCAUUCCUAAUGAUACAUGCUUCGUAGGGCUGUUUGAGGAUUGAAUGAUGUAAUGUAAUGGAAAACUGUCUGAAGAAUAUUUGGUAUCUAUCAAAACACUUAAAUGUUAAUCACUAUAGUUAUUAAGUGGUGUUUCCAUCUUGCUUUUCAUCAAUCCAUCCUUUUACCUAAGUAAGACUAAUAAACUUCAUUUCAUAAGUUUUAAAUCUAGUUUGCCAUAACUUAAGGCCCUUUUUCCUAUAUUGGCCUCACAGAGGGGACACAAAUCCUUUAUCAAAACUACCUGAGUGAGUGUGGAUAAGUCCCUGGAUCUCUGUAGACCUCAGUUUUUCUUUUGUUUUGUUUUGUGUCAUGCAGACACCAGACUAGAUGAUCUCUAGAGGCCUCUUUCAGCUGUAUUGUGGCGGUUGCGGCCAGUCAUAGCAGCUACGCUUACUGAACACCUAUUAUGAGCUAGGCUCUGUCUCAAGUGCUUUCUUGUGUUAAUUAAUACAGCAGUCACAUUGGGAAAUUUGAUAUCAGUACCUUCAUUCUGAAGACGAGGGAAGUGAGCUGCUGGAAGGUCAGGCAGGUCACGGACCGAGGGUUGCCCAGCUGGUAAGCGGAGAAGCCAAUAUUUGGAUGUAAAAAGAUUCACUACUCAGUCCAUGAGCCUAUAUAGCAAAAUUAAUUCUGUGGUCUUCUGUUACUAUGAUUUUGUGAAUAUUUCUGAACUCAAGGUGAACCGAGAAAUCAGAAUCUCUCUACUCUAUUGGCUUUAUCCAGUGACCUGACCUUGGCACCAAAGAAUAUUUUUCAUCCGUAAAUAGCAAAGUGCCUGAUUGCCAAAUAAAUAAGAGAACAUGAACUACUGUGAAAAUGCUUCAAGAAGCGGAGUUAUUACUACUGUGUCAUAAUUACAGCAAGAAUAAUAUGCAUUUAUGGAACACUUCAUGUUCCCCAAGUACUUCAUGGCUGUCCUAAUUAGGCAGCCUAUUGACACAUUCUGAAGAGAUGACGGCAAGUGUUGAUUUCCACUCUGCAGUGCCAUGAAGCUUGCAAGUACCUCUCAGCUUGGGAAGGAGGGUCAGUAAAAGCCAACAAGGCCAAGCCUAGGAGGAUGAUGGAAAGUGGAUUACCAUCUAAUGGGUGAGAAAGGCCGACUAGCUCCAAAUGUCUUGGGACUGUAAAAAUCAAAAGUUAAUUAUGGGGAGGACCCCCAUUUGUAUUUUUAUUGCUCUAUUUACAUUUUAUGAAGCCAUCUGUUAUCAUUAAUAUGUUCAAAGUCAGUUUUGUUUUAUUUGUAAUUGUACAGCAAAAGAAAAAGCAAUUCUUCCUCAAGUGGGAGAAACCACAGGCCUGGGGGAGGAAGACAUCUGGCCGGGUGAGCCCUUGGCCAGAAUGAUGACCAUCUCCUUGGGCUGGGUUCAGGCAGGAUCUGGGCAGGCUUCAGGGACUCUGGCAGCUUUUUGCAGGCUCAGUCACUUGGAGGGAAGCUUGGCCCUCUAAGCUGAGGGAUAAUCUGCAUCUCUGGGAUGUGGAUAACUUGUUAAGAGUGGUGCAGUGACAGGCUGAAGAACAGCAGAACAAGCCCACCAGCUGCCCUUUUCAGGCAUGGAGCUGCAGUGAACCCAUCCAAGAUAUCACCGUCUCCGACCAGGCCCAUCUGCAGGGGCAUCCCUGGGGCCACACACAUGGAUGGAGCCUACAAGCCAUCUUGUUCUUUUUCUCUUGUUUCGCUUCCCUAGGACACAGCUGAGUGACCCCUUUGGAGGUGGCUUAGGGAGAGCAGAAACCACCACCGGCCACUUUUGGCUCAGGGACCAAUGGCAAAGUGCUCCUUCCUGAUCUCAACCCAAAAUGAGCAGCUGCUGGAGGAUUACAAAGCAUUGGACCUUCUCCUGUUCAUUUUAAAUGUUAUCUCAGCUGGGCAGUUCUUGCAAAUGAGCUCAUCGCCCUCCCCUUCCUCUCUAGUUCCCCACCAUCACCACCACAUACCCUACCCAAAUACGCUCCAGCCAAAACCAGGGCCUACAAGGAGUGCACAUUAACUAAAUUGCAGCUUACUGGCCACGUUGGUGGUGUUCCCAGAUUGGGUUCCUCUGGCUUAACACUCGGAUGCUAAUGACAGGAGCUGGAUGUGGCCAAGGGACAGCCUUCACAAAGAAAAUGGCAAGGGCGGGCUUCACAGAGCUUCGAUUUUAGGCUAGUUCAUGGGUCUGCAAGUAAGGUAAGGCAGAGAUGCAUUUAAAACAAAACAAAACACGAAAUGAAACAAUGGAAACAUCUUUCUGCCACAGAAAACUUGUACUUCAUAAGUGUCUCCAAUCGUACCCUGCAGGUUUCAGAAACACAAAACAAAAUCUUUUAUUGAUUCUGCCGCAACUGGAAUGUGGUUUCCUUUCUCUAAGUGCUCCCCUGAUGCAGCUUCUUGCCUCUGACCCCUGUCCCCAUAUUUUUCCUGACCAUGCCUCCUUCUACCCUCCAGUUUUUUCUCUGCUACCAGAUAUGAAUGGCAGGGGAAAGGAUUAGAGGCUUUAGGCAGGAAAAAUAAACAAGAAAAAUAAAACAAAACAAGGUGCCUGCUUCGUCGUUUCUCCCGAAGCUACAGUUGAUUGGGACCCAGAGAGAAUAUUCCGUCCUUCUUUUCCUAGGCCCUGUCCUGUUCCUCUCCUUUGCCCUUUAUCAGGGCCCCAGAACUGGUUGUAGUGGACUUUUCUGUGCAAAGCAGGCUCCUGUCAGAAGCCAUUUCCGAGUCUGAAAUCAUUGCACUGGGAGGUGAAGAUAGACAAUGGUUAAGCCACUGAAUUCACUGAAAGGAUAUUGGAUAAUUGAGACACUUCCUUCUGGGGUUAAGGGCUGUGGUUUGGUGCUGGGUCCCCACCCAGGGAGGCACCCUGACUCUUGCCUGAAUAGUUGGGGCCAGCUACCCAUGCCUUGGCAGAUGCAGCUCCUUGCUCCCACGGGUGUAUUUCUAGGGAGGUGGGAGAUGUGGUAUUCCGCAAGCGAAAGAAAUCUGAAUGUCCCAAGUACAUAAGGCUGGGACCUGGGGAGGACUAACCGGUGCUUCUUCUCAUUCCAAGUGCUUCCCAACCUGCUCUUUCGUCGCCUCCUGUCACUGCAGAGCCCGUGUUUGAUUAAUGACGGGGCUCUUCAUUCCCAGCACCACCCCCCCUUGCUCCCCCCCACCCCCACGCACGUCCAUUUUAAUUCUCUCCUCCCUCUUUUGGCAUCUGGUUUAUUUUGUAUAUAAACUGCUGAUGCAAAUGUCCAAAGUAAAUUAUGCUGAAUAAUAGAUGAAGACAGCUACAUAAUUUAUAAUGCUAGAGGCCAGACAGAGCUGGACGGGCAGAGUUCAAGCCCACGCCACUUCCCACAACCUGCUGGGCUGGUGUUUACAUCCUAAGUGCUGGAAAUAAACACAGCCUGAUGCCUGUGGCUCCGACUGUCUUCCUCAAGGUGUGUGUCUGUCCCUAGAGUGGACGUGGACUCCCUGGCCCAGGCUGCAGCCCAUCAGUGAAGAACAGUCAUGGGAACAGCAUAUGUCACCCUCUUCCUCAGCUCCUCUUGUUGGCUUUGCCUUUAAAACAGACCCCAUAUAACUUCUGCCAUUACUAGCUUGGAGAAGCAGCCCUCACCUCCUGCCUGGUGAGUGCACACCCACUCUGCGUCUCCGAAGCCUCUCCCUGUUUUCUCCUUUACAGGCCUGUGUGGCUUCAGCCUUAGGGUGACCUGGUCAUCUGCAGGCCCCUGAAUUUCCAUCAUCUUCUCUGUCUGGUCUCUUCAGCCCGCCCAUUCAGAGCCCGGCAGCCAUCCUUGAGAGUCUAGUCCUGCUGGGCACACGGUGACUGUAGGGCAGAGAUUUGGGGGUUCUGAAGCCCGUCCUAUACUGCCUUGAGCUUGGGAAGGUAUAUGCUGGAAGGAACUAGAGCUGGCAUUGACAAAUGGGAAGAGAAAGCUUCCUUCAGCUUUGCCACCACAGAAAGCCAGUUCUGCUCACAUAAGACAUCUUCAGAAGAGGAGAACAUUAGUUAUUUUUCCUGAUACUUGGUGUCUGCUCUGAUAAUCAAGAACUGUUGAAAUGGCUGAGAUCACAGCAUCAGUCUGAUUGGCUAACAGGAAAUCUGAGUUGUGUAAUUAUGAGACCAAAUUCACACAGGUCAAAACUCAUUAGCCAAAGUGUAAAAAAUUGCCUUCUGUACAAAUACAGCAUUCUCUGUGCAGUCACACUCACUCAGCAUAAUUCCCUUCACGCCUCAGGAUAAUCUGGAGGUGGAGGCAGCAUCCUCCUCCCAUGCGCUCCUCACUUCCAGUUCAGAGAUGCUGCCUUACACCUUCACACAGGGGUGGGUCUUGGAUCUGAAAGCUGUGAUUCACAGGUGCGGACACCACAGAAGAGCUUCAGCAUUUCCGAAUGCGCCCCUUAUCAUGGACAAGGCACUGUGUCAACACCUGAAUAAGUGUUAUCAAAUUGACACCUUACACAACUCAGAGAGCUGGUGUUAACUCCAUGUUAUGAAAGAGGAAACUGAGUCUCAGACCAAGCAACUUUGCCCAGGUCAUGCAGCUGUUACAUGAAGGUGAGAAAGGGCCUAGGAUGCUGCAGAAAAGAUCAGGGAGCAUGAGGCUGAGGGGACAUAGUUUUUUCUAUGGGUACCGACCUGCUUCGACCGAGUCCUUCUGCAGACAGAAUGUGCUAUCCUCAAGUGAGCUAAUCGCCUUGUCACUGUGCCAUCAUGCAUGGUUGCCGACUCUGUCCCAAGCUGCUAAGGGGGCGGGUGACGGGGUAUAGCCAACCAAAGAUUCAAAAGUGCUAACAGACUUUAGCUGUGUCAUAUAAAGAGACAGCAGCUGCACUCAAGAAGGCCUUCUGAGUAUUAUAAAAUAGUUUGGGGAUCUAAAAAAGGAAAGCGGGUUCAGGCCACAAAGAUGGUUGCAGAAUUAUUUUAGAUUUUCAUUUCCGACAAAAAAGAUGGAAGGGCCAUAUAACCAUGAGAUUAGUUCUGUCCAAUUUCAAGUCAGUGACGCACCACUGAGGGCUGGGGAUCUUCCACAGCUAAGCAGAGCAACCGGAAGCAAACAGUUCUGUAAACAGACUGGAACAAAGCAGGGGGUUACAGAUUUGGGGGCUGUUAUGCAUUUAGAGGCUCCUGAAACUCCACUGGAAUCCAGAAAUUAAAAAUGGAAGAGGGGGCAGAAAAAUGGAGAAAGUGAGGGAGACUUUGCUCUCUGAGACUUUUGGGAGAGCAUGUAGUGGUGGUAGAGGCGGUAUACACAUGUGUGAUUUUAAGACCUGAAAUAACAACAUCCUCCAGAAACCCCAAGCAUGUGCUCCCAUAAGCAAGCUGAAAGUGCCUGUGUUCCUUGAAGAAGAGUGUGCUGGCUUCAGAUCUGGAAGGCAAAGGGACAUUCAAGGGAGUCCUCUCCUGCUCUGACCCUUGGCUCCCUAGGACUCCAGGGCAUGUUCACUGCUUCUCCCAGAGGCUGCUGUCCGACAGCAGCAAAACCCUGGGAAAGCAAGGGUGAUCUUCACGUGGAAUAGCAGAACCUUGGCAUUUCUGUGGCCUUAUCACCGUUUUUUUUUUUUAUCCUAAUGCACUUUUUGGGUUCACGCUUCCAGCACAGCUCUUGCCGACUAGUACUUCUGCAAAAAUCAAACAUCCCUUGUGCUACUCCUCACAGAGACUAAACAAAGAAGCCACUCCCUCUCCUGUCUGGAAGCACUCUACUAGGACGUGGUGUCUGGUGCACACCUGCCUAGGCUCCCAGUGUAAAAUCCAGGGGAAGACACUCAAGUACCAGCCUGCACUGCCAGUGUCCACCUUCCCUGAAUGGGAAGGGUGUUGAAGCUUCCUCAACACUCUCAGGAUUAAAGGAAUGAAUGGUAUUAUAAUAUUUGAUGAGGGAAUAAGGUCACAGCCUGACAAGGACACGGGUUAACAUUAAAUAGAAGACAUGUUACUACAACUAUCACUGCAGCCAGGAUCUGACUGGCAUGAGCAGUGAGCAGUUUCUCAAUCUUAGCACUACUAGCAUUUUAAUCUGUAUACUUUAUGAUCACAGUUUGAGGAGGGGAGUACUGUGCAUUAUAGGAUAUUAGCAGCAUCCCUGACCUACCAAAUAGGUGUCUGUACCACCCGCUCCCCAAACUGUGCUCAUAAAAUGGUCUCCAGACACUGCCAAAUGUCUUAGAGGGGGCAGAGUUGUCCCUGAUUAAGAACUCCUGAGUUAAAUGACUCUGGAUUCCUCUGUCAAGGGUCCUCAAAGCGUGCUGAAGCAGCACCUGGAGGCUUGUUAGAAAUACAGGUCUUCACAUCCCACCCCAGACCUGAUUCAGAAUUCCUGAUGGUAGGACCAGAGGAUUGAUUAUGUUUUAACAAGCCCUCCAGAUGAUUCCUAUCCAUGCUAAAAUUUGAGAAGUGUUGCUAAAUAGUACCCACUUGCCACAUGUGGCUAUUUAAUUUUAUUUUGUUAACCAAAUUGGGCAAAACUAAAAAUUUUAGCUUCUCAGUUUCUGCAGUCACAUUUCAAGUGAUCAGUAGCUAAUGUAAGCGGUGGUUACCAUUUGGAAAGGACAAUUGCAGAACGUUCCAUCAUUGCAGAAUGUUCUAUUGGACCGCAUCGCAAUGAAGUUGCUACCAAAAUGCGAAUGCCUUCAAGAAACCUAAUGCUAUUCCUGGCCAUUAGCUAAGUCCUACAGAAUACUCACUGGCUACCUUAUGGCAUUGCAUAACUAGUUUUUUUUUUGUUUUGUUUUGUUUUUAAAUUUUUUAUUGGAUUUUAGGUUUUGGGGUACAUGAGCAGAGCAUGCAAGACAGUUGCGUAGGUACACACAUGGCAGUGUGCUUUGCUUUUCUUCUCCCCUUCACCCACAUUUGGCAUUUCUCCCCAGGCUAUCCCUCCCCACCUCCCCCUCCCACUGGCCCUCCCCUUUACCCCCAAUAGACCUCAGUGUUUAGUACUCCCCUUUCUGUGUCCAUGUGUUCUCAUGUUUCAUCACCUAUGAGUGAGGAUAUGCGGUGUUUCAUUUUCUGUUCUUGUGUCAGUUUGCUGAGGAUGAUGUUUUCCAGAUUCAUCCAAGUCCCUACAAACAACACAAACUCAUCAUUUCUGAUUGCUGCAUAAUAUUCCAUGGUGUAUAUGUGCCACAUUUUUCCAAUCCAGUCUAUUAUCAAUGGGCAUUUGGGUUGAUUCCAGGUCUUUGCUAUUGUAAACAGUGCUGCAAUGAACAUUCGUGUACAUGUGUCCUUAUAGUAGAACGAUUUAUAGUCUUUUGGAUAUAUACCCAGUAAUGGGAUUGCUGGGUCAAAUGGGAUUUCUAUUUCUAAGGCCUUGGGGAAUCGCCACACUGUCUUCCACAAUGGUUGAACUAAUUUACACUCCCACCAACAGUGUAAAAGUGUUCCUUUUUCUCCACAUCCUCUCCAGCAUCUGUUGUCUCCAGAUUUUUUAAUGAUCGCCAUUCUAACUGGCGUGAGAUGGUAUCUCAAUGUGGUUUUGAUUUGCAUCUCUCUGAUGACCAGUGACGAUGAGCAUUUUUUCAUAUGAUUGUUGGCCUCGUAUAUGUCUUCUUUCGUAAAGUAUCUGUUCAUAUCCUUUACCCACUUUUGAAUGGGCUUGUUUGUUUUUUUCCUAUAAAUCUGUUUGAGUUCUUUGUAAAUUCUGGAUAUCAGCCCUUUGUCAGAUGGGUAGACUGCGAAAAUUUUUUCCCAUUCUGUUGGUUGCCGAUCCACUCUAGUUACUGUUUCUUUUGCCGUGCAGAAGCUGUGGAGUUUCAUUAGGUCCCAUUUGCCUAUUUUGGCUUUUGUUGCCAAUGCUUUUGGUGUUUUGUUCAUGAAGUCCUUGCCUACUCCUAUGUCCUGGAUGGUUUUGCCUAGAUUUCCUUCUAGGGUUUUUAUGGUGCCAGGUCUUAAGUUUAAGUCUUUAAUCCAUCUGGAGUUAAUUUUAGGGUCAGGAAGGGGUCCAGUUUCUGCUUUCUGCACAUGGCUAGCCAGUUUUCCCAACACCAUUUGUUAAACAUGGAAUCCUUUCCCCAUUGCUUGUUUUUGUCAGGUUUAUCAAAGAUUGUAUAGUUGUAUGUAUGUUGUGUUGCCUCCGGUGCCUCUGUUUUGUUCCAUUGGUCUAUAUCUCUGUUUUGGUACCAGUACCAUGCUGUUUUGAUUACUGUAGCCUUGUAGUAUAGUUUGAAAUCCGGUAGUGUGAUGCCCCCCGCUGUGUUCUUUUUGCUUAGAAUUGACUUGGCUAUGUGGGCUCUCUUUUGGUUCCAUAUGAAGUUCAUGGUGGUUUUUUCCAGUUCUGUGGAGAAAGUCAAUGGUAGCUUGAUGGGGAUAGCGUUGAUUCUGUAAAUUACUUUGGGCAGUAUAGCCAUUUUCACGAUAUUAAUUCUUCCUAACCAUGAACAUAGAAUGUUUCUCCAUCUGUUGGUGUCCUCUCUGAUUUCGUUGAGCAGUGGUUUGUAGUUCUCCUUGAAGAGGUCUCUUACGUUCCUUGUGAGUUGUAUUCCAAGGUAUUUUAUUCUUUUUGUAGCAAUUGCAAAUGGCAGUUCCCUCUUGAUUUGGCUUUCUUUAAGUCUGUUAUUGGUGUAGACGAAUGCUUGUGAUUUUUGUACAUUGAUUUUAUAUCCUGAGACUUUGCUGAAGUUGCUUAUCAGUUUCAGGAGUUUUUGGGCUGAGGCAAUGGGGUCUUCUAGGUAUACUAUCAUGUCGUCUGCAAAUAGAGACAAUUUGGCUUCCACCUUUCCUAUUUGAAUACCCUUUAUUUCUUUUUCUUGCCUGAUUGCUCUGGCUAGAACUUCCAGUACUAUAUUGAAUAGGAGUGGUGAGAGAGGGCAUCCUUGUCUAGUGCCAGAUUUUAAAGGGAAUGCUUCCAGUUUUUGCCCAUUCAGUAUGAUAUUGGCUGUUGGUUUGUCAUAAAUAGCUUUUAUUACUUUGAGAUACGUUCCAUCGAUACCGAGUUUAUUGAGGGUUUUUAGCAUAAAGGGCUGUUGAAUUUUGUCAAAUGCCUUCUCUGCGUCAAUUGAGAUAAUUAUGUGGUUUUUGUUUUUGGUUCUGUUUAUGUGGUGAAUUACGUUGAUAGACUUGCGUAUGUUGAACCAGCCUUGCAUCCCUGGGAUGAAUCCUACUUGAUCAUGAUGAAUAAGUUUUUUGAUUUGCUGUUGCAAUCGGCUUGCCAAUAUUUUAUUGAAGAUUUUUGCAUCUAUGUUCAUCAUGGAUAUUGGCCUGAAGUUUUCUUUUCUCGUUGGGUCUCUGCCGGAUUUUGGUAUCAGGAUGAUGUUGGUCUCAUAAAAUGAUUUGGGAAGGAUUCCCUCUUUUUGGAUUGUUUGAAAUAAUUUUAGAAGGAAUGGUACCAGCUCCUCCUUGUGUGUCUGGUAGAAUUCGGCUGUGAACCUGUCUGGCCCUGGGCUUUUUUUGUGUGGUAGGCUCUUAAUUGCUGCCUCGACUUCUGACCUUGUUAUUGGUCUAUUCAUAGUUUCAGCUUCCUCCUGGUUUAGGCUUGGGAGGACACAGGAGUCCAGGAAUUUAUCCAUUUCUUCCAGGUUUACUAGUUUAUGCGCAUAGAGUUGUUUGUAAUAUUCUCUGAUGAUGGUUUGAAUUUCUGUGGAAUCUGUGGUGAUUUCCCCUUUAUCAUUUUUUAUUUCAUCUAUUUGGUUGUUCUCUCUUUUAUUUUUAAUCAGUCUGGCUAGUGGUCUGUCUAUUUUGUUGAUCUUUUCAAAAAACCAGCUCUUGGAUUUAUUGAUUUUUUGAAGGGUUUUUCGUGUCUCAAUCUCCUUCAGCUCAGCUCUGAUCUUAGUUAUUUCUUGUCUUCUGCUGGGUUUUGAGUUUUUUUGAUCUUGCUCCUCUAGCUCUUUCAAUUUUGACGAUACGGUGUCAAUUUUGGAUCUCUCCAUUCUCCUCAUAUGGGCACUUAUUGCUAUAUACUUUCCUCUAGAGACUGCUUUAAAUGUGUCCCAGAGGUUCUGGCAUGUUGUGUCUUCGUUCUCAUUGGUUUCGAAGAACUUCUUUAUUUCUGCCUUCAUUUCGUUGUUUACCCAGUCAACAUUCAAGAGCCAGUUGUUCAGUUUCCACGAAGCUGUGCGGUUCUGGGUCGGUUUCUGAAUUCUGAGUUCUAACUUGAUUGCAUUAUGGUCUGAGAGGCUGUUUGUUAUGAUUUCAGUUGUUUUGCAUUUGUUGAGCAGUGCUUUACUUCCAAUUAUGUGGUCAAUUUUAGAGUAGGUGUGAUGUGGUGCUGAGAAGAAUGUGUAUUCUGUGGAUUUGGGGUGGAGAGUUCUGUAAAUGUCUAUCAGGUUUGCUUGCUCCAGGUCUGAGUUCAAGCCCUGGAUAUCCUUGUUGAUUUUCUGUCUGGUUGAUCUGUCUAAUAUUGACAGUGGAGUGUUAAAGUCUCCCACUAUUAUUGUGUGGGAGUCUAAGUCCUUUUGUAAGUCAUUAAGAACUUGCCUUAUAUAUCUGGGUGCUCCUGCAUUGGGUCCAUAUAUGUUUAGGAUCGUUAGCUCUUCUUGUUGUAUCGAUCCUUUUACCAUUAUGUAAUGGCCUUCUUUGUCUCUUUUGAUCUUUGUUGCUUUAAAGUCUAUUUUAUCAGAGAUGAGAAUUGCAACUCCUGCUUUUUUUUGCUUUCCAUUUGCUUGGUAAAUCUUCCUCCAUCCCUUUAUUUUGAGCCUUUGUGUAUCCUUGCAUGUUAGAUGGGUUUCCUGGAUACAGCACACUGAUGGGUUUUGGAUUUUUAUCCAAUUUGCCAGUCUGUGUCUUUUGAUUGGUGCAUUUAGUCCAUUUACAUUUAGGGUUAAUAUUGUUAUGUGUGAAUUUGAUACUGCCAUUUUGAUGCUAAGUGGCUGUUUUGCCUGUUAGUUGUUGUAGAUUUUUCAUUAUGUUGAAGCUCUUUAGCAUUCAGUGUGAUUUUGGAAUGGCUGGUACUGGUUGAUACUUUCUAUGUGUAGUGCCUCUUUUAGGAGCUCUUGUAAAGCAGGCCUGGUGGUGACAAAAUCUCUGAGUAUUUGCUUGUUCGCAAAGGAUUUUAUUUUUCCUUCACUUCUGAAGCUCAGUUUGGCUGGAUAUGAAAUUCUGGCUUGAAAGUUCUUUUCUUUAAGAAUGUUGAAUAUUGGCCCCCACUCUCUUCUGGCUUGUAGUGUUUCUGCCGAGAGAUCUGCUGUGAGUCUGAUGGGCUUCCCUUUGUGGGUGACCCGACCUUUCUCUCUGGCUGCCCUUAGUAUUCUCUCCUUUAUUUCAACCUUGUUGAAUCUGACGAUUGUGUGCCUUGGGUUUGCUCUUCUUGCGGAAUAUCUUUGUGGUGUUCUCUGUAUUUCCUGCAAUUGAGUGUUGGCCUGUCUUGCUAGGUGGGGGAAAUUUUCCUGGAUGAUGUCCUGAAGAGUAUUUUCCAGCUUGGAUUCAUUCUCUUUGUCCCCUUCUGGUACACCUAUCAAACGUAGGUUAGGUCUUUUCACAUAGUCCCACAUUUCUUGGAGACUUUGUUCAUUCCUUUUUGCGCUUUUUUCUCUGAUCUUGGUUUCUCGUUUUAUUUCAUUGAGUUGGUCUUCGACUUCAGAUAUUCUUUUCUCUGCUUGGUCAAUUCGGCUAUUGAAACUUGUGUUUGCUUCGCGAAGUUCUCGUAUUGUGUUUUUCAGCUCCUUUAAUUCAUUCAUAUUCCUCUCUAAGUUAUCCAUUCUUGUUAUCAUUUCCUCGAAUCUUUUUUCAAAUCUUUUUUCAAGGUUCUUAGUUUCUUUGCAUUGAUUCAAUACAUGAUCUUUUAGCUCACAAAAGUUUCUCAUUAUCCAUCUUCUGAAGUCUAAUUCCGUCAUUUCGUCACAGUCAUUCUUUGUCCAGCUUUGUUCCCUUGCUGGUGAGGAGUUUUGGUCCUUUCUAGGAGGCGAGGUGUUCUGGUUUCGGGUGUUUUUCUCCUUUUUGCACUGGUUUCUUCCCAUCUUUGUGGAUUUUUCCGCUGGUCGUCUGUGUAGUUGCUGACUUUUCGAUUGGGUCUCUGAGUGGACACCCAGAAUGUUGAUGGUGAAGUAUUUCUGUUGCUUGAUUUUCCUUCUACCAGUCUAGCCCCUUCGCUGUACGACUGCUGAGGUCCGCUCCAGACCCUGCUUGUCUGGGGUGCACCUCUAGCAGCUGUGGCACAGCGAGGGAUGCUACCAGUUUCUUUUUCUGCUAUCUUUGUCCCAGGAUGAUGCCUGCCUAAUGUCAGUCUUUUGGAUAUAGAGGGGUCAGGGAGCUGCUUGAGGAGACAGUUUGUACUUUAUAGGGGUUUAAUUGCUGAGCUGUGCGCUCUGUUGUUCCUUCAGGGCUGUUAGGCUGCUAUGUUUGAUUCUGCUGCAACAGAGCUCAUUAAAAAACCCUUUUUUUUUCCCUCAAAUGCUCUGUGUUGAGGGGUUUGGGCUUUAUUUUUGGAUGUUCGAUGAGGUGUCCUGCCCAGCUAGAAGGCAGACUAGCCACUGUUUGGCUGCCGAGGCUCCGCCCUGCUGUUGUGUGAUUCGCCCUGUUCCUGCCGGCUCUGCUGUGGUCUCCGCCAUGCCCUGCGGCGGAGUCUCUUCGUUGUAGCGUGUUGCCUCAGCAACGGCAGGCUGCGUCAGCAGUGGGCGUGUAUCUCAGUAGGGAUGGGUUGCCUCGGCAACGGCUGGCUGCGUCAGCAGUGGGCGUGUAUCUCAGUUGGGGCGGGUUGCUUCGGCAACAGCUGGCUGCGUCAGCAGUGGGCGUGUAUCUCAGUUGGGGCGGGUUGCCUUGGUAGUGGUGGACGCCCCUCCCCCACAGAGCGUCUCGGGCCGUCUGCUCUGGAUAGUUUGAAAUCGCGGUUUUGUUCGGCCCACUGGGUAUCCCAAACGAUCUGUCCCUACAAUCCCCUGGGCUGGGCUUCUGUCCAAGUCUCGUUCAGUCUCAAGUCCAGCCCUCUCAAGUCUCAGGUUGCCGGUUCAACAAGGCACCCGGACAAGCGCACCCUGUGGGGAUUGCUGGGUAGGGCCGGCCGCAGCCGCCCCGGCUGCCGGCUUCGCCAGGCAGACCUACUGCCUGGCGUCCCGUGUCUUUUUUAUACUUGGGAGUUUCCCCGUUCUGUGGGCAACAAAGAUCAGUCUGGAAAUGCAGCUCAGACUUACCGUUUGCGGAUUCAACGCGAGCGCCAAUCCUGGGUUGUUUUCACAGCGCCAUCUUGAGUCCUCCUCCGCAUAACUAGUUAUAGAAGUGAAUUGAGAAAAGCCUUGUUCCUUCCCCCCUCAUGCUUGCAUGUAUGAUAGGUAUAAUGAUGCUAACCAGCCCAGAGCCCAUCCAGGUAACCAUCCAGGCAGCUGGUCAGAGAUACAGGAUGUAUGGGGUAAAACACAUAAUAUAGAGCAUGCCUAAAUCUUACUUUAAGGUACUAUAUUAAGGUAUCAAAAUAAAAGCAAACACAAAUUCAACAACCAGGGAGAACCAAGGAAUGUAAGCAUAUGGCACUAUAUUAAGGUAUCAAAAUAAAAGCAAACAUAAUAUAAGACACUAUAUUUAGGUAUCAAAAUAAAAGCAAUCACAACUUCAGCAACCAGGGAGAACAAAGGAAUAUAAGCAUAUGGCAUCAAGUGCUUUGCAGGGACACCAGGUUUUAUGGUGAGAUGACUGACACUAGCCCAUUCUCCUACCUCUAGGAAGGGGCCAUGUAUAAUUUCUGGACUCAGCUGAGUGUCAAUUCCAAACACCUCUGAGACCUCUUUGCAGGGUUCUUACUCUAUCAAAUCCAUUAAGAGCGCUUAGCAGCUCCAGAGAAAAAUGUAAUAAUCCUAACCACAUCAAAUGUCCAGGCAAUCCCUGGAGUAGGGUAGGCAGUUGCAUGUGUGUCUCGGUGUCUCCCCACUAUGCCAGCAGCAGGCAUCACUAAUGAAUCAGCCUACUCCUCCCCAUGGACCCUGGAUGCAGCCAGUACCAACCAGUCCAAGCUUACAUACACAGGAGGACACUAGCUCACUGUCUUUGUAACUCAAAUUCUUGUACUUGCCUCAGCUUCUUUUUGGAAAAUCCAAAUACAACUUUUCUGAUGACAAGAUGCUACAGGGCAUUUCUCCUUUAGUGAAGCACAGAAGUGUUCCCUGGCUUUCUAAAGGAGAUCACUUAACGUUUACUGCCCUCAUUCCUUUUCUAUCGACAAACCUUGUAUUUCAGCACAAACUGUAAUUCUCCUUUCCACACUAAGUUAUCGGUGGAACAGUCAACAUAAAAGUGCUCCUAGAUUGGUUUUCAGCUCUGCUUCUUAACUUGAUUCCAAUGUGGAUUACACCAAGCCUGGAACUCUCAUGAUUUAUUCUCAACCAGCAAUCAAAUAAAACAUAAAAAAAAAAUACACAUGGCAUUCCCACCCUAGAUCCCCAGAUAUACAAAACCCCAGCGUGAAGCAAUUUCAGCAAGACUUCCUUUUCUUGUUUUUUUUUUUUUUUUUGACAAGGUCUCCAUUGUCUAGGCUGGAGUGCAGUGGCAGGAACAUAGCUCAUUGCAGCCUCCACUUCCUGGGCUAAAACCAUCCUCCCUGCUCAGCCUCCUAAGCAGCAUGCACCACCACACCCAGCUAACCUUUCUGGGGUUUUUUGUUUUUGUUUUUUUUUUUAAGAUGGGGUUUCACCAUAUUGGUCAGGCUGGUCUCGAACUGCUGACCUCAGGUGAUCUGCCCACCUCAGCCUCCCAAAGUGCUUGGAUUACAUAGCCACUGCACCCAGCCUCAGCAAUAUUUCUUUGGCAGGAAUCUGGUCUUGAGUAAAGUCUGCCCAGUGAUGAAAAACUCUUAAACCUCUGCCAGAAAGCUCAGCAGGUCAGUGCAAUUUGUCCCUUGCCUUGCUCAUCUCUCCUGAGUUGGACUGAAGAGGGCUUCAUCAAACAAGGAAAUACAAAGGGCAAGGGCCCUGCCAGCCGAGUACCCACUUCCAUGGGCAGGGGGAAGUGACCAAAAGCAAACUCAUUCUUCUGGUCACCUUCAUGGGUGCUGCAAUCCUAUGAAAAAUGUCCUCCUGAGCACACCCUGAGUGCCCACUGUGCUUUAAUUAGAGAAGUAUGAUAAAAUGUAAGACCAGAAGGUGAGCUUCAGAAAUGCAAACAUUUAGGUCUUGAGAGUCCAGUGCUGAGAACAAGACACUGGGACCCCAAUUCUGCCCAUGGGAAGGGGUGAGAAUGACGAGUAGUUUACAAAAAUGAGGGUGUGCCAGUGGGUGCUUUGUUUUGGGGGACACUGGAGCUUCAGACUAGGGAGCUAGAAACAUCUGGCCAAGAGAGGCUUCUUAAGGUUGACCAGAAAAGAGAGGGAUGGAAGGUCUAGUGUGACUGGACUGCUCACCUGGAAGUGAGAGGCUGCACCUGCCCUCUGAAGGAAAAGGGCUGAGUUCUUCCCAAGAGGACAGAAGUGUGUAGCCAGUAGACUUGGUUGGAAAACAAGUCUUUAGUAACAAUCUGCAGAUUAAACCAAGCCAAUCCACAUGUACUGCUUAGCUCUGUAGUGAGGCCACACAUAGUAUUUAUGGCUACCUUCAUAUUUAUAUAAUUAUUUAUUUGUAAAAUAUAUAUACAUUACAUAUAUUUGUAUAUCAAUAGUUUCCUUUAUACCCAUACAAAUAUACUUGUGAGCACAUAUAUUUAUUUACAUAUAAAUACAUACACAUGCCCCAAUCGAAAGGCUUAAGUAUAUAUUUGAGUAUAUAAUUGUUCAUACACAUGAAUAUAUGUACACAUUGUUACAUAUAUUAUUACAUGACAGUCAAUAAGGUAUAGUCUUUGCAUUUAGAUAGUUCCAAGUUUGAAUCCCAGUUCUGUCACUUAGGGAAGGUGUUCCUUGGGUAGAUUAUUUAAUUGGGCCCAAUUUCCUCUUCUGUAAGGUAGAAAUAAUGACAUAUAAAUUACCAUACAGAUGUAAAAAACAAGAUAAUAAAGAUAAAAUAUACAAAAUAGAUGAUCAAUGGCAGAUACAGCUACUUAUAUAACUAGCACCUCUGUGUCUGCAAUGAGCUGAAGAAUGAAUGCCUCAUUCUCUGGGGUUGGUAGAAAUCAGAGUAGGGGGCCAGUAGCACUUUUAUUUAGGGUGUUUUGAACAAAUUCGUCUAAUAUGUACCAUCCAAAGGGCUCAUAAGAGGUAUCUUUUUUUCAAAUCAAAUGCUUCUAUUUCAAGAGUGGCUCAUUUCUCUUUUAUAACUUAGUGAUUUGGAGGAGGAAUUUUCUGUUUACGUUUAUAAAACACAGUUUCUGAGAGGUAAAUGUCAAUUUCAAACACAGGAGAACUUCCUAAGAAAGUUGCUCCCAGAAGUAUUGAGGCCCCUGUUACACAGGAUGCUUCUGCAGAGGCAGGGCAAUCACAUAUGGGAAUCCAAAAUCAGAUGAGGGCUGCACUGCGUGUUUUCUGAGGCCCCCUUGCACCUUGAAACCCACACAUUCUGUGGCUUUUUAGAAGGUGCCCUCUGAGUGUGCUGCACUGUGGUUUCUGUACUGCCUUCCCACCAGCCUCCCACCCACUCCUAGAGGCUUCUAUUCAUCAGUUACAAGGCCCUGAAGGAAUCCAAUAGUGAGGAGGUGAGAUUACAUUCUGAGGAAAUGGGUAAAUUGAAAUGGGCUGAGAUUGAACUCAACCGGGAAGCCAGCUUCAUUUAGCAGCUUGUGCAAAGUCUUAUUAGGAAAAUGUAGCCAUCCAGAACAUCGGCUCUGCCCGCACGUGGUGGGAGGGGCUUGCUGGUCACGCUGCAGGUGGAAGGCCUUCCCUUUGCAGGCUUGCACAGCCUCCUGCCAGGUCAGUGUGACCCGGGCUCUGCUCCCUUGGGUAUUAAAGCAGACGUUCUGAUUUAAUUCUGCCCCUGCCAACAAGGCCUGCUUUCUCUGAGCAUCUUUCCAGAGGAAUUUUUUGCUUUGCCUCACUGUCUCCCCAGGCCAUUCCAGUUUUCACCAAUCUAAAGGUACAAAAACACGUCACAGUGGACCCUGGAAAUAGGAUGUGGAAUACACUGAGUAUUGGUAAUAGAACUUAUGUCAGUGAAGAGAAAUUGGGAAAAUGCUUUUGAUGUGCCUUUCAAACAUCCAGGAAGACGAUAUUGGUGACUGAGAGAGCAAGGAACGAAUAAGAAUAGGUGAUAACAGCAUAAGCAUAAGCAGCAGCUGUAAAGCCUUUUCUUCCUAAAAAAAAAUGACAAGAGUUCAUCAAAUCCAAACCCUAGUGAUUAGUGGCUCCACAAUUUUAAAGAGAUAGGCGUUUGUGCAAGUCUCAAAUUAUCAGGCUUUCCUCUCUUUCUCUCUCUCUCUCUCUCUCUCUCACACACACACACACACACACACACACACAGUUAAAAUAUGACCUUUCUUUGUUUCAAAGAACCAUUAGCCUUGAAGGAAGGACCUCUGGGUCUUUGGUUUACAGCGGCUUAAAAGCCUUUGCCAUCUGUGAAAAGGUGGAGAUAUUUAGAGAUAUAACUAGGUAUAUUUGUGACUAUGACAAGUUCUAAGAUGCAUGCUUAUCCCAUUCUAGUGGAAGCCCUGGCAAUCUGGCAAUUUUCAGAUGAAAAAUGUCAUAGAAGUUUGAGUUUUGGUAAUUAUCCAUUUAUAUGCUCUGGAUGCCCAAUGAGGGGUCAGAGAUUGCCUCAUUUGCUGGCUAUAUAGCUGUUCGUAAGUAAGCGUAAUGUGACACACACUCUGUAUUAGUUGAUAGGGAUGGGAAAAUUAGUUAUGUCACAUCUGAAAGCCACUUUACAUUCGGAGGUCAUAACUGAGAGGAAAAAUAACCAAAAGUUUCAGUAUUCAAUUUGUUUACUCUGAGCAAAAUGCAAUCUCUUAAACUGAUGAUGAGAGGUGGAUAGAUGAGAUGAAAAAGGCUUUUAGGAGCUCACUUUAAAAGCUCAAAAGGUGUCUGGGACAUUAAAUAGCUGUUAAAAGCUCUCGUUGGAUAAUUUAAGUGUAAAUGAGUAUGAACUAUAUGGAUUAAAUUUCCUUAAAAUACCUGUCUGAAAAAUUAAGGAAAGACUAUUCGAGACAAACACAGUUUACCUUUUUUCAAAACCUGAAUGUUUCAAAAAAAUAAUUUCAGAGUUUCAAUGAAAGCUAAAUGCAGUCUGAUUUAACUGUCCCUAGUGAUCUUCCCAUUGAAAGCCACAAUUCAGUGAUAAUUAUACCCACAUUAAAAUAAGUACAUGUGUUGAUACACACAUACCACAUAAAGUAUACAAAUUUAGCCUGAGCUUUUCAAAGCUUUUUCUGUCAUAAAUGAUGUUAGAGAUAAAAAAUAAUUCAGCCUAUAAAUGUAAAAAUGUGAAUUUAAAAAAAUGUUUAUAAUCCGAAAUAACAGUUCAUUUGAUCCUUUGGGGAUUGUUGUUUAUUCUUAUUAUUACUAACAUUGGGAAUGUUAUAUCUUUAUAGUAAAUUUUACCCACCAAUUAUUGUGAAAGCCCCUCCGUUUGCUACAUUAAUUUCUGAAGAAUGUCAGUGCUUUUUCCUGAGGACAGUCACCCUUGAAAUAAUGCUGCUUUAAAAGACCAAAUUUUUAACUUUAGCUGUUACCUAUAGAGAUGCCGUUCUACAUUAGAUGUUCAUUAUGCAAUGAGGUUAUGCACGAAAAAGCAUCUUUUAAAUUAUUCAUUAUUAUUAUUAUUGCUCUAUUAAGGUCAUCCUUUUGCUUGAUUCUAAGAUGUUUUCUUUAGAAUUUAAACAUUAUAAGCAACAUUUGGCAAAAAACAAGCUCAUUAUGAAUAUCAUGUCCUCUCUAUUGCCCCGUGUUUUAGAACAUUUUCUUUCUUCUUAGCUCAUCACGGUAUGUAGGUUCAAAAAUAAAAGGAACCGAGUUUGAGAAAUGAGAAAAUUGCGGCACAAAAAGCCCAUAAUGUCACUGCACAUUAUAGUGGCAGCUACUGGAGGCAUCUGGCUGUAGAACAACUUUCUAUACUUUCAAUUUCUCAUGUUUCAUUGUUAUGUAGCAGUAGAGUUUAAGGUGUCAUCAUCAACAUAAUUAUUGGAGCUUUUGAGGUACCACCAGACAUAAAAGAUUGAUGUGUGGUUUAACAGCGUGAUGCAGAUUCAGAUAUGGAAUUUAGAGAAUGAAAACCCAUUCCAAGGAUGCAGUGUCAUGAGUUUACUCUCACCUCUCAGCAGCUAGGGAGCCAGGUUUAGUCCCAAGAGACCUGAAAGCUGCUGGGAACCCUUCAUUCAUUCAAACACUAUUCUAAGCACAUGGGUAAAAUCGACACAGAGCCAUAUAAUCAUGGAGCUUCUGUUCUAGCAGAAGACAGACAAUAACAACAGUCUCAGUGAGAAGGUAAGUCACAGGGGCUGUUAGAAGAUGACAAGGGCUUUGGAAAAGUGAGAAAGUAGAAGAGAGCAAGGGAGAUCAAGAGGGCAGUGGGGUGAGCAGAGUAGGUUACAACUUCAAUAGGGUGCCCAGGGUCAGUAUCCUGGAAAAUGAGACAAUGGAGCAAAGACUUGAGGAAGGUGAGGGGUUGACCAGGCAUAGGGAAAGAGCUUUCCAGGAAGUGGAAGCAGGGCACACAAAGUUCUUGAUGUAUUUGAUGAGCAGUAGAGCAGUCAGUGUGGCCAGGAUUUAGAGGCAGUGGGAGAGGGGCAGGAGAUGAGAUCUGAGAGGAAAUGGGAAGCAGGGCAGUAGACGAUCCAGCUGUGCAGUCUGUCGCAGACUGUUAGGAGGACUUUUGCAUCUACUGGGGUGGGGGCAGGAAAAUGUCUUUUGUUGUUGUCCUUGCUGCUUUGGUUGAUUGGUCAUUAUUACAUUGUGAUUGGUGGUGGUGUGGAUGCUUUCAUGCUCAGGUUUCAGCAGGUGAAAGAUCUUGACUCCCCAUCUCACUGUGCUGGGUCAUUAUUACGUUGUGAUUGGUGGUGGUGUGGAUGCUUUCAUGCUCAGGUUUCAGCAGGUGAAAGAUCCUGACUCCCCAUCUCACUGUGCUGGGUCAUUAUUACGCUGUGAUUGGUGGUGGUGUGGAUGCUUUCAUGCUCAGUUUUCAGCAGGUGAAAGAUCCUGACUCCCCGUCUCACUACACUGGGUCAUUAUUAUGUUGUGAUUGGUGGUGGUGUGGAUGCUUUCAUGCUCAGGUUUUAGCAGGUGAAAGAUCCUGACUCCCCCUCUCACUAUGCUGGUGUACCCCACCCCCUUUAAAGGCUCUGCUUAUAGUGAUGGAGAUUGUAAAGGUGACAGCCGGCAUGAUCAGUCUUCUGUUAUGAGUCUGUAUGCACUAGGCUUGUCAUCUGACAGCCCAGCAUUAGUGGCUUUGUUAGAGUAUAUACACUAUCUUAUACCACUUGUACUCGCAGGCCUUAGAGUCUAACAGCCUUGUCUUCAACUCUGCAUUCUUUAACUCCCAACCUUGAAGAGUUUGAAUCAAAUGCUUACACUCUUAAAGCUUUAACUGUCUACUUUAUUAGGAUUAUUGUGAGACAUAAAAAAGAUUGUGAAAAGCAUGUUGUGAUAAUGGGGAUGGUAUCAUAAAUGAUGAUGAUAACAAUGAUUUAGUCCACACAGCCUGUUUUAUCACAAAGAUGGAUGGAUGGCUCCCUGGCCUCGGAUGCCUCAUGAUACAAGAUUUAUGAUCCAGCUAUUAGGGAAGGGCCUCUGGGUACCUCAGCUCCCUUCUAGGAAACAAUGUUCCACUCUUGAUGCCAAAGCACAGUUACAGAACCCUUGGAAGGGUUCAAGUUUUCAAAGCCCCCUGCCCCCAGCUUAUAUGCAACAAUGUGUGAGGAGGGGUAUCUCCAGGGGUUCAAGGCCACUGACUGACAAUGUCUUGUAGUUCAGGAAGCCCAUCCCUGACAGGUGCAAGGCUUUGAAGUCCUUUAGUUACUGGUGUGAGAGGGAGAGGAUUCAGAACUUCCCAAGUUUCAAUAACUGAAGAAAUCAACAAACCAUUAUGCUUAAAGAGUGGAUUUUUAGGUGCUGGAUGCUGUGGUCUCAAUUAGAAGCUCUAGAAAUAACAAAUGUCCACCACCUCACUCCCUGGGACUCAGGAAACCAUCACCAGCAAGCAGAACCUGAAGGAAAUGAGUACAUUAAAACAUCAGAAUUUGCAGAAAUAUUUGAUUCCUUCUGGCAGGCUCAUCAAUCACGAAUGAUUAGAAAGCUGAGUUGCAGUGGGAAAGCCUCUGUUUUGAAUGAUGCCUCAUUUCGUUUCUAUUACUAGGUGGUUAUAGUUUGUAAAGAGACUUCUCUGCAUAUAUUUUUUAUUUUUGUUUUUCAACUAAAUUGUUUCCUCUUAUGGGAGCAAAGAAAUUAUGACAAUGCUUAAAAAUGUGAGACUGAUAAAUGCUCCUAGAUGGCACCAAUAAGUGUAAAGAGACCCAAAACAUUCUUACCACACCCCUCUGUACCAGGUACUACAUUUAAUCUUCUGUAGUCUCAAAAAAGUAGCAAGUUCAGAGACUUUAAAAAAAAACUUCCCGAGAUCACACAUAAGUGGAAUUUGAGACCUUGUCUUUCUGAGCUAUGGCCCAGGUUGAUUUCCCCUAGAAAAGAGCUUCAUUCCACCUUCACAUUUACCCCAAAAGGAAUAGCAAUGUAUAUUGGAAUCUUCAACUCCUCUAAAUCCAUUUUUUUGGUCACUUCAACUUUGAUAGAACUGGGGAUGAGGCAGGGAACAAAGAGAAAAUAUCCCUUUGAGCUCAGUCUCCAUGUCUUUGCCAGUCAAAAGAAAAAGAGGUUCAGUCAAAGAAAUACAUGAUACAUAUAAGUUUCUGCAACAAAAAGCUUGAAGGGAACUUCAUCAGAGAAAGAAUCCAGACCAGAAAAAGGGAUCUGAAUUCUGCAGUGGGACAAUCUGGCAAGAGGGAGAAAGAAGGGAGGGGCUGGCGGGAGAAAGAGGGGCUGGUGCAGGGGAGCAGGCGAAAGCCACAUCAUUUUCUUUAUUAUCCUGUCCAUUUGCCUUCAACUUUAUGAUGUUCUGUCCAUCAGCUGUUAACACCUAGUUCUCUAAAAAAUAAAUACAACUUGAGCAAAUUAAGUGAAAAGGCUUUGGAGAGCCCAAUUACUGUGUGUCCCCUGGACGCUUGGAAAUGGACUUCAUUUUUUCUGUAAUAAACCAAAUGGUGAGUGACAGCCCAGCCAAAUGAGGCACGUCCCAGCUCCAGCUUCAUCUGUCAGGCACAUGCCGUGAGACAGGCUUUAUGCAUUGCCGCGGCAGCACGCACGGAGAGGUGUGUGCGCGCAAACAUGCAUACUUAAGCUAAAUUGGAAGGCACCUGCUCCCGGGUGAGCUGCCAUUUUUUUCUUCCCAAUUCAUCACAACAGUUGCUUUCUCUUGAAAAUCUAGCAGGUUUCUGAGAAAAGUCAUGUUCAUUAUGGAAGUUAUUUAUUAAUAAUAAAUAGAGGCAAAACUCAGUUAGAAACAGAUAUAUUUUCUCAUACCGGAUGCAAAGACAUUAAUGGAUGAAUGCGUUCUGCCUUCCAGUCUGGGCUCAUUUCUUUAGUUGCCUUUUUAGGUAUCUCUGGUUUAUUCAUUCAUUCAUCCACUCAUUUAUUUACUUGCUCAACAAACUGUUCAUAAAAGUCUACUCUUAGCUGUGCUCUGUGUUAGGAGCAGAGUGGUUACCAAGCUGAGUAAGUAACUUUCCUCUACCAGAAUUCUGAUCUGGCUGGGAGAACAAACAUAUCCAAAGUCAAAUAUCUAAAAUAUCAAGUGUUUUAUAUUCUAUUAGCACAUUCCCUCUGAAGAAUGAUAGGUCGUCUUGUACUUUCAAAUGGGUAGUAUUUGCCCCAUGGGUUUCUUCUGAUGGGUGAGCCAUAUCUACACACCAGCAUUUCUAUUUUCACACCUAAUUUUGUGGCAUUGAGACAGCUGAGAAGUGUGCCUUUUCUUAAGUGUGGUGUGAAACCCUUGUUCUCAAAUCUCUGGAUACUGAAAACUUGUCUGGUUCUAUAAUCAUCCAUUCAGCAAAUCACUGUGGAACAUCUUUUUCACACCAGGUAUUGCACUAGAUGCUAAAAUUCUAGGGGUAAACACAUCUCACACAGUCCUUGUCCUCAUAUAGUUUUUACUCUGUCAAGGGAAAUAGACAUCAAACAAAUAAUUAUGCCAAUAAUUACUUAAUCACAGCUGUAAUUAAGUGAUAUAAUGGCAAAUGGCAGAAUGCUUUAAGAGUGUUAAAUGAGGACCUGACAGUUUGGGGGAAGAGGGAAGAUUCCAGAAAGGCAUUCAUGAAAUUUACAAUAGGAAUUAGUCAUGUGAAGAGGACAUAGGAUGGCAUUUUAGGUAAUUGUUGCUUAUUGUUGUUGUUCCCAUGUAAGUAUGUCUUUCCCAAGAGUGGAUGGGUUUGGAUCUUAGACACCGGUGGAGGUUGUUAAAGUAGGCUGGCCUUGGGAGCAGUUAGAAUAGGUAGUCAUGGAGUAGCAUUAUUUAUAGGGAAUGGAGUCUCAUAUUUUGGUUCCAGAACUUGAUGUAUCCCUUUGGUCCUAGAGAAGGGCCAUUGCUUUAGAUACCAUGUGCUUCAGUCUUACAGCAGCCUUUAUUCACAUGAAUGGCUAGCGCUCAGAAAUUCCUUCAGUAAAUGGACAUGAGAAGGUGCGUGAAGCUUAACAGCAGACAAAGGGUAAUUCGAGGUGAGAUGCAUGUCAAAUGUGUGUCAAAAUCCAUCUUUUCCUACUUCAGCUUCACCAAUACACAUAUGUGGAUAGCCAGCAUUGGCAUCACAUUAUGAUGCCCUACUGACAUACUUCAUGGCACUUUAUGAUCCAAGUCUAUUCAUGCAAAAAUUGAGAGACCAAGAUAAAUUCAAUGAGCUACUCUGCAUCACAUCCUGCGCCCAGAGUAAACUCCAGAGACUUUCAAAAUCCUAACCUACGACCCUUUUGACCAUGCCCCAACUGCCCCUUGUCAAUGAUACUGAAUGUAGUAGAAUCCACACAAUGAUAUUGAGUGCAGUAGAACACACGGUAGUAUAGACUUCCAUCAUACAUUCAUUCAGUCACUAAGUGAGGCUUAGUGACAGUGAAUUGUCCAUGGUCGCAGAGCUACAGGCAGAUCUAAAAUUAGAAUCACAGUUGGAUAGUUUAAACCUUUUAACUUGCAUCAUCAUUAUCACCGUUAAUUAUUAGAAGAAACAUCUGAAAACUGUGAUAUUUAUAUGUGAUAAUACAACAAUACAGUGCAAUGCGAUGCCAUAUAAUACAAUGUGCCAAGUGAAAUGCUAAGUGCUUGAGAUAAAAUGGUGAGCAAGAUAGACAGGCUGCCUUCCCCAGCAGACUUUAUAAUCCAGUGAGGAAGACCAACAGCUAAAUCAGCUAUUACAAUAAAGCAUGGUAGAUGCUCUGAAUAGAGAAAAAUCAUGCCUUGGGAGCUCAGAGUAAGGAACUCCUAACCUUGCCUAGGGUCAUUAAAUGCAGUUGGAGUUCUUAAUCACAAAGCUUAGAGGUGCUGAGUAGAUGGGUAAAAGAGGGAAAAAUAUGUUUCAGGCAAAAGUGCAGCCUGAAUGAAGACCCAAUGGCUAGGUAAAACAGAGCAUGUUACAGGGUUCAAGAAGGCUGCAGUGAAGUGUGAGGGAACAAUGGCAGGAAGGAAGGAUGCCAUAAGGAUGCCUGGUCCUCUCAUAUUAAAAGAUAAUCAUAGUGACAGCAAUGUAUCUAGAAGCCCCGACCCCCAAACAGCAUUUUACAGUCUGCUUUCUUCUUCGGUUGGCAUUGCCAUCUAAGUCUGGAUAGUACAUGCAGACUUAGGGCACCAAUGGCAAUCUCAGAUACCGUUUUCUUUGAAUGCAUACAUGAUUAGCAUCAGAAUUUGAAAGAAUCUCAGAAGUCGUCUAGUUCUCCUGACCCUAGCCCAACUGCUGCCGUUUCACAGAUGGAAAAAGUAAGACUUAGUGACAGAGUGAAUUGUCCGUGGUCAAGAGCUACAGGCAGAUCUAAAAUUAGAAUCACGAUCUGACAGUUUAAACUCUUUAAAGUGGAUCAUCAUUAUCAUCAUUCAUUACUAGGAGAAACAUCUGAAAUCUCUGAUACUCAAUUUUUACCUCCUGACUUAAAGCCUGUUAACUUGCUUAGUAUAAAAGACAGCAUUUAGAUGGAGCUUCUCUAGGCAUUCCUCUGAUAAAUCAUAUGAGUGCAUUUCAGGAGCAACAUCUGAACUAUGUGAUCCAGGCCUCACUUCUCAGUCAUCGGUGCUGCCAGGGUCCCUCCAGCUACCGGUCCUAAGACAUGAACAGGUCACCGUAGCUGUGUGGACAUUGUGAGCUUGUGGAGGGUAAGUGUGUGCCGCAUCCAUUCCUAAGACAGGAACAGGUCACCGUAGCUGUGUGGACAUUGUGAGCUUGUGGAAGGUAAGCGUGUGCUGCAUCCAUUCACAAACCUUCUGAUCAGAGGACUCUCCCGAGGCAAGGCAUUUCUUGUUUUCAUUUUGAACCAGUGGGUCACAGCUGGCAAACAAGCAUACCAGGAUACACAGAGAGACGGUGCAUUGAGCAGGAGAACACAGCCUUUGCUCAGCCCUAGUGAUCUCUCAGGGUGACACUGGGUGCUUGCUUUUUGGAACAGCCUAUAAACAGCUUUUCAAACCCACUACCCUUGAUUUAUUAGUGGCUUGGAAUUGCAAAUGUUUCUGAGAGCACAGGGUGUUCUCUUCCUCUCUUAGCAUACUUUCAGAACUUUAACUGAAGAAUCAUAGAAUCCAGCAGUUUAAGACCCGAAAGCACCUUUGAUCAUGUAGUUUUUAUAUUGUAUAGCUCAGGAAACUGAGGACUCCAGAAAUUAUGCAGUUUCCUAAAUGCUUCAUCGCUACAUGGUAGUAGAUACAAACUGAAUGCAUCAAUGUCUCUAAGAAAGAGAAACGGGAACAGACCUCAGUAUGGCGAGCUCUGCUUGCUGUCUUUAACCACGCUGAUCUUUAAUGUACCGCUCACAUUCAUUGAGAAUUGAUGACGUGUUAGGCACCAUGGGAAGCAGUUUUUUUGUACAUUGUCUCUUUGAAACCUUGAAAUAGCCUUAUGAAAUAUAGCCAAUAUCGUCACGCUGAUUUAUAGAAUAGCAACAUUUAUUAAAUGUUUACUGUAGGCACUAGACAUGAUUCUACCUCAUGUAUGGGCCUUAGCUCUUGUACUUCUCAUAACAGUGUUAGAGUCUCUACCCCACCCAUCAGGACGCUGGGUCUAAGUGAGUAUACACAACUUGUGCAAGAUUACAGAGCUGGCUGGGAUUUGGGGACAGACAGUGAACCUGGCCCCCACUUAGUCAUUGCACUGUGACAUCUUACGAGGAGGAUCUCACCUCCAGCUUGUUGGAAUCCAGAACUCUUUUUCAUUCACACCUUGAAUUUGUAAGCACAAAAGUCCUAAACUUAUAAGCACAAAGUAUUUUUACACCAAGUGGAAUUUUCUUGAGAUUCUUAAUCAUCUAGGAUAAUUCUUAAAGACAAAAAAAAAAAAAAACCUUAAUGUUUUUCCUACUCUUUUGUCUCAUGCAACACAACACUUCUGACAUCAGAUGUAUGAGAAAUUUUACCCCCACACCAACCAAGUGACGCUCAUGAGGACUGGGCAUUCUCCAAUUCGGUUCAAUUCUGACACUGUCUACCUGGAGAUGGCGUCAUACCCUUCAGGCUGAGGCUCAGCCCACAAGACGGCUUCCCACUUCAGGUGCUAGUUGUACCAGCGCUGCUGCUGAUCAGCGUUGCCAGCAUCUCUGCCUCCCCUUCAGGUUUAAUGCAUUUACUGAAUGGAUCACAGAACUGAAGGAAACACUUUCUUUCCAUACACUUCCCAGUGUAUCAGUAGAGGAUAUAGAGGAGCAGUCGGCUGGAAGAGGUGUGUGGGGCAAGGCAGGGGGAGGGGAGUAGAGCUUCCAGGCCCUCUUCUGGAGCGCCACCCUCAAGGACCCUACCAGUCUUCAGCAACCAGAAGCUCUUCAAACUCUGUCUUUUGGGGUUUUUAUUGGAGCUUCAUUCGUUUGACAUAAUUGAUUAUAUCAUUAGCCAUUGGUGAGCAACUCAACCUUCACCUCCUCUCCCCUCCUAGGAAGUAGAGGGUGGGACAGAAAGUUCCAAUGAUCUGAUCACAGAAUUGGCUCUCUUGGCAGCCAGCCACCAUUAUGAGACCAUCCUGGGGCACCAGUCGCCAGGCAUCUCAUUAGCCUACAAAAGACACUGUCACUUUGGAGAUUCCAAGGGUUUUUCAAAGCAGUGUUCCAAGAAAGAGGACAAAGACCAUAUCUAAAUAUAUAUGUAUGUGAUACAUAUGUAUAUUUCUUAUUAUAGAUCACAAUAUCACAAUAAUACAAAAGUAAUAUUUUCUUUUCUUUUUUUGAGACGGAGUUUCGCUCUUGUUACCCAGGCUGGAGUGCAAUGGCGCGAUCUUGGCUCACUGCAACCUCCGCCUCCUGGGUUCAGGCAAUUCUCCUGCCUCAGCCUCCUGAGUAGCUGGGAUUACAGGCACGCACCACCAUGCCCAGCUAAUUUUUUGUAUUUUUAGUUGAGACGGGGUUUCAUCAUGUUGACCAGGAUGGUCUCCAUCUCUUGACCUCGUGAUCCACCCACCUCGGCCUCCCAAAGUGCUGGGAUUACAGGCGUGAGCCACCGCGCCCAGACGAAAAGUAGUAUUUUCUUAUCCCGAAGUCAUCUAAGGUCAGCAUCAACUGAUCAACUGAUUUUCCAUGUUUCUGAGGAAUAAUAGCUACAGUGAAGACAGCGUUCUCUCCUGUCCCUAGCCUGUUACUCACCGGCUGUUUAGAAAACUAAGAUUGCUUUUGCUCUUUAGGAAGUGUUUUUAAUUCUGAAGGAUCAAGAAACUAAUUGUCAGUUUAGAAAUAUCAACACGAAAAACCCAAACACACAAAACCCAAGAAACUUACUGUUUGCAUAGUUCUGUUGUGUGUUUGUGUGUGUUUUUCACAGGUGCGAAGUCAGGCCAUGGGGCCUGUUGAAGUGUCCACUCCUUGGCAGCUUUAAAUUCUCACUGGUGCCCAUAUAUCUUAACAUCCUUCUUUAUGAAGACUUGAUGGACAUCACGUGAUCCAGUGUUUCCUCACUAACUUCUUCUCUAUCAGAGAAUGGAGAAUAAGGGUAUGUUUAAGAUGCCAGGGAGGAAAUACCCACUUGUAUGAAUGACAAAAUAGAAAUUUCAAAUGCGGGCUUACAAACAAUUUACACACAAUUCAAAGGAUCAGUUUAUCGGUUUUCUUUUAAUCUGACAUUCAGAUAACAAUACACUUGCCUUAAUUAUUUCUUGUCCUUUUAUUUUCAGAAUAUAUAUUUUGUAAAACUUAAAUAUUUCCUAAUUGAGGGUGUCAAUUAUUAGUUAAGAUGAAAAAACUCCCUUGUUCUUCCCAUAUUUUUAAACUAUUUCGCAAUGAAUAGAAAUUAUGUUAUAUAAAAGGCUUAGCAUAAUCUGACAGCUAGAUACAGAUAUACCUCAUUACCAUGGUCUCCACAAAUCCAAAACUGUAUAAUAAUUCAUAGGCAGGAUUGACCAAAGAUUGCAAAUGAUUUACCCUUCUUCGUAAUUUAUCUUCUAGUUCUACCUCUUCAUAGAUAUAGCUCACAACUACUUUUGGCUGUAUUUUGAAAUAGUAAAGUCCUGUGUCAGAAGCCCUUGAGGUGAACACUGAGGGGAACACUGAUUUCCACCUGUUCUCUUAGCCUCCUGAUGCCUCAUGGCUUUCACCUGAAAGGCAGAGAUACUCCUGGCCUCAUAGACACUGCGAGGCAAUGGUUGAGAGAGGAAACAGCAGCAAAAGGAACUCACGUUCAACUCCCCCUUCUUAGUAAAAUACAUUUUGAAUCUGUUGAGAACUCACUUUAUGACUCCGCAUUUGUUUCUUGCAGGGCUGCAAGGCAGCUGUCAUUAUCCUUGGUUCACAGAUGAGGAAACUGAUCCCAAAGAGACUGAGUAACUUGCUUGGAACAUGUAUAACUGAAAGCGUGAGAUUUGGAGUAAACCUAGUUUUGAGUAGUAAUUCUACCACCAGUUACUACGGGCUUUCUGGUCUCAAGCAAGUUACUCAUCAUCUCUCUGAACCUGUCUCUGCAUUUGUGUAAUGGUGGCAUGACAGUAUCUCCUAAGUAAUACCAGAACCUCCUAGUGUUCCUGUGUGAAACACAAGCCCAUUCAGGUCCCAUGCUCAGCCUUGACACACAGAAGAUACUAAACAAGGGGAGCUACUUUUAAUUGUGGGUCAAGAUCACACUGCUGAUAAGUGGAAGCCCUAGGCUGCACCUCCGGGAGGGAGGCUGCAAAGCCUGUGUAUUCUCAUGGCCACUUGCUGCCUUCUGCACAAGCCCACCCAGAGGUUAUGUUGUCUAUGAGAUGAAGCAGUGUGUUGGGUCCUGGCAGGAUCACUUGGCAGGUAUGACAGAGCCCGUGUCUGUGAUGCCUGGUUUCCACCUGAGCUUCCACAAGGUUUAUUGGGGCCCAACUUGCAGGGUAACUGAGCAGGUUGCUACUGGAAGAAGUUUAUCUGGCAGAAUCAUUACCUUGAAACCAUCAAAAACAAGGGAUGCAACAGUUCCCAAUCUCAGGUACUUAGGCACAAUGAGGGAGGGCAAGACCCUUCUGCCAUCCUCUGCUGUGCAGUGGUCCACUGGAGUCUUUAUAUGUUGGAAAGGGAUACACAAAGGGUGAAAUAGGUCCUUCUGAUAGCAGUCACAGGACACCACAGAUGAUUGUUAUUCAUGGGGGGACCAUAGAAGCCCCAGUCCAAUUCCAUGUUUUACAAAGGUUGAAAGCAAGACAGAUUGUAGGAAUAAUUGCCCCAGCUGAUCUAGCUAACUCGUGGCAGAGUGAAAAGGAUGGAGGAUGGGUUCAGUUGACAAGUAGGACAGGCCACCUCCCGUCUACUCCACCUAGUGCAGGAGGGAAGGAUGGCUUCAGCCGGAGCUGGAAUGGCUGACCUCCUCUUGACACACAGAGCUCUGGAUGACGUUCCCUCUGCAGAGACCCCUCCUUGAUUAUUCCACCUGUAUCAUUCCUGAAUUUUUGUCUAAUUAUUCAUGUCUCUCUGUCAUUUCACAGUAGUUCUCAGGGGCUGACAGUGAAUUACUUUUUAUUGUGUGUUCAUUGUCUGCCUGUUCCACUGGAAUAUAAACUCCAUUAAGGCUUGGGAGCUUUGUUUUGGUAACAGCUAAAUUCCCAGCACAUUGAACAAUACCGAUUCAUAAACAAUCAAAAAACCUUCAUUGAAUAAAUGAAUGGCAUUAAAUACUGACCUAAAAGUUAGUAGGUAAAUAUGGGCAGAUAAGUUUAGAGAGGCAGUAAGAAGGCAGACAGAGACCUCCAAACCUGUUUCCCAGGCAUAGUGGCUUUAGCCAGUGUUGACCUUUUCUGAUCUGGAAACACAGCACAGGAACAAAGUACUCCAAGUUCCUCAUCUCCUGCCAUUCCACUACCUUAGCUCUCUGAAAUUCCAGAAAAUCCCACCUUUUUCUUCUCUCCUUCAUUUACUUUUUCUUCUUUGCCUUUUCUGCACUCUGCUUGGACAUAAAACUGCUCAUCUUCUGAACAAUGCAUCUUCCUGGUGUCAGGAUCCUGCUCUCAUGCAACUUAUCUACUUACCUGUGAUAAAUUGGAAUAAGAUAUGGCUACCCAAUUUAUCUCAGGAAAAGCUUAGAGCAAUGGGGGAGAAAAAUUCAUCAAAAUGUUUGACCAUCUUGAAUUGUAGGUAGGACCUAGUCAUUUAUUAGGUGUCAAGAAUUGUGCUAAAUCUUAGAGAUGUAAAGUAGACUAAAAUGCAUAAAAUAUACUUCCAUGCUAUGGAAUUCAAUUCAACUGUAAAAAAAAUAAGCAUGCAUUUUUUUCCUUCCAACUUUUAUUCUAAUUUCCAAUAGCACAUGUGCAGGUUUGUCACAUGGGUAAAUUGUGAUCCUGAGAGUCUGGUGUAGAGAUGAUUUUGUCACCCAGGUAAUCAGCAUAAUACCUGCCAGGUGGUUUUUCAGUUCUUACUCUUCUUCCACUUUCCCCUCUCACAUGGCCCCGCCCCAUCUAUUAUUGUCUUCUUUGUAUACAUACAUACUCAAUGUUUAGCUCCUACUUGUAAGUGAGAACAUGCAGGACUUGGAUUUCUGUUUCUGCAUUAAUUUGCUUAGGAUAAUGGCCUCUAGCUCCAACCACGUUUCUGCAAAGGACAGUUUCAUCCUUUUUAUGGCUGCAUAGUAAUCCAUAAUGUAUAUGUACCACAUUUUCUUCCUUAUUCAGUCCACUGUUGAUGGCCAUCUAGGUGGACUCCAUGUCUUUGCUAUUGUGAAUAGUGCUACAAUGAACAUAUGAGUGUAUGUGUCUUUGUGGUAGAUCAAUUUAUAUUCUUUCAGGUAUAUACCCAACAAAGGUAUUACUGGGUUGAAUGGUAGUUUUAUUUUUAAUUCUUCUAUAUGUAAUGACAUGGGAGAUAUUGGAACAUACUGUUAAGUGGAAAAAAUAAGUUGCAAUUUGGCAAACAUACAUUACUAACUUGUUUUAAAAAUAUCAGUGUAUCUAUACCUAUACCUGUAUGCCUAUGUCCAAGUACAUUUCUACAUCUAUAGGUCAGAUAUAUAUAUAUCCAGAGAUGUCUGAGAGAUUGUGAAUACAGAAAACCAUCUUUAAAAGCAUACAACAACUGAUACAAGUGGCCAUCUCUAAAAGAAUGAGAUUGCUGAGGGUGGAGAUUUUGCUUUAUGUACUUUGGUAUGUUUCCAAUAUUUUUAUGUGAAGAGAAAAAUAUUUGCAGUGUAAAAACCAGAGGCAAAAACAACAACAGAAAAGGGUAUUAAUGAGUGUCUUCCCUUCUGCCCCCAAAUAAACCAUGCUCCUGUUAUUAAGGGAGACAGAGGCAGAUAAGUGUGGAAAUCAGUGUGCAAACCUCUGCCCACGUGACAUGCAUAGGAUGGAGCGACGCUUAAAGGAGAGAGGGCUUGUUUGCCACAGUCAGGGCGACAUCUCGGGGAAAAUGUUCUUGAGUUGAUUCUUGAAAAGUAAAGAGUUGAGCAUGGAGAUGGGAGCUGAAUAGGAGUGGGGGAAAUGGCACUCAUCUAAGCAAUGCAGAAUUAUUUGGCUAGAUGGAGGGUACCAUGUGCAUGGGACAAUCUCAUGAAGGCUGAGUCCAGACUAUGGAAGACUUCUCUUCAGGAGUCUCUCCCAAGUCAGUGCAGAAAUUGAGUCUGUUUAUUCCUUCAUUUCAUAAAUAUUUUUCAGCACUUACUGGCUGUUAGAGUUUUACUAAGUAUGAGGAUUUAAAGAUAAAUAAGAAAUAUAGAUCUUGCCUUCUUGGAGACUUUGGUAGACUUGGAUAAUUUUCUUUUCUUCUCAAAAAGGACACGUAAUGGCAAACUGCAGUAUGAGGUGCUGAUAGUUAGCAUUAAUUAAGGAUUAGAGGCCUUUAGGGGACAUCAAGGUAUUUCUGAAGGAUUGGUCAUUCAAAUCUAUAAUUUAGAGCAGCAUGGACAUUCCAUUUUGUAGCAUACUUGGGAAGGAUGAAGAUGUGUAGGUGGAACCAAGAUGUCUUAACACAAACAUUGGAAGAGCUGUGCACUCCCCUCCCCUCAGUCCUUUUGUGAGAUAGAGGGUUGGUUUGUUUAGCUCAUCUGUCCAGCUAACUGUUCUCCUGCCUGUCUAUCACUGGAUUUCCAUCACUAAGCGACUGCAGCAUCACGUGUCUAUGUUGAAGCAUUGAACUGUGAAUCUUAUUACAAGAAAAAAAAUUCUUAAACUAAAAAACAAGAGAGAAUUGAUCACUUAUAAGACAAUAAUAAAAGCAAAGGUAAUUUCCAAGAGCAACACAUAACAAUAUAUUGUUCUUUUUUUCCCCCAGAGCUAAUUUUAAGCAAGAAACUCUUGUAAGAUCCUUUAAAGAAUGCCACCUACAAUUCCCUCUUGCCACCUACUCCCCACCUCCUGCAUAAGUCAGGCUCUUAUUCAUUUCCUGAGUUGUUUGUACCCCUCAAGACCUAGGUUUGCCCAAAUUUCUGUGUGAACUAGAGCCUACUAUUCCUUGAAGUUAGCCAGCUUAACAUUUUUUUUUUAUAUAUGCAUUACUUUGUUGCUGGGAAAGUAAUCUUUCUGUUCUCUUAUCCAUCACGUUGUUUGUACUUCUUUGUGUAUAGCAGAGUAAGCUAUUUAUUUAAAUGCUUUGAGUUAUGUACCUUCCCAGGUAAACUAUUUUAAGAUACAGAGAUGGAUUUAGGGAUUCGUAUACUAUCAUUACUGGAAAAAAACUUGCAGCUCAUUGGUUCAUAGGCACACCAUCCAGAAUAUACAUAUUCUAAGCCUCAUCAUGCAUUCAAACGGCCUCUGCCAGAUCCUCCCUGAGCAUGUCUGCUGCUGGACACAGCUCCUACGGCUCCCAGUAUCUGUGGCUAUGGGAAUGGGCCUCAUCCUGUCGUACUCCUUUGGUCUCCCAGUAAAAUCUACAUGCUAAUACAAGUUCUGCCCUGGGAGACAGCAGAAUAAGUGUGAUUCCACCUCUCCACAGUGCUUCACAUGCUCCCACGUUGCCCUCUUGUCUCCCCUGACAAUGCCUUUCUUCAUGUCCCUCUAGUUACCGAUCCUGAAGUUCUUCUUGUUUCUGGUUUUUUUACGCCCACUAUUCUUGGUUUGCACAGUCUCCUAUUACAUGUUAUCCCCAGAUAUGGGCUGCCUAGAGUGAAGCAGAGCAGGAGAGCAGGAGUUUUACCUCUCUUGUUUUGAUUCUUCACUUGUUAAAUGUACCUACCGUGGAAACAAAAUGCAAUCUAUGAUCAAAUAUCCUUUUGUCGGUAGCCAUUUCGCUUUUUAAAACUCAGAACUGUGAGAAAACUGCAAAACUCUUGAAGAUUUUUCACACAUAUUGUUAUGAAAACACAUCUCCCCAUUGGGUGUUUAAGUUAUUACACAGGACCUACAGCAAUCGUAAUGGAAUAGGGUUUUAAAUAGCUUCAUCAUAUCCAUCAAUAUAAAAAUCAUUGAAUGAGAUAGAAACCCUUUGAACCGAUAUUGGAAGGAUAUCAAAGUGAGUUUUUAUUUAUUCUAGGAAGGUUAAAAAACAUAAUUUCAUUUAUUUUCUACUAACAUAAAAACUGUAAACUUUCCACGGGGAAAGGAGUACUUUAAAAAUAGCUCAUCUGUCUGGGUUGAUAUGUUUUGGGCUAGGCUUGGAAGUUUUGUGCAGCGAAGCCUUUUGGAGGAAGGCAUUUUAGUGUCUGCCAUGUGCCUUCUUUUCAGGCUAUAAAUGUCCCAGAAUAUAUGCCUGUUUCUCCCUUUUUCACCUGUUCUUUGACUAAAGGCUGUUUAAGGAGCCAUCCUACUCAGAUUGCGCUUACCCCACAGAAGCAAGGCAUCAGUAAAGUUGAUCACACACAGGCACUUGUGAAAGAGAUGGUGACUCAGACUUGCUGGAUCUCAAGCUCUUGCUAGAUCAAUACUCGCUGCAACAGUGUAGCUAUUGACUUGGAAUUCAUUGCCAUAAACACCAUUUGUCAGCCUUCCAGAGAGAAGAGUUCCAUGACCAACCUAAAGACUGGCUCACUCCUGUGAUUAGUCAUUCCCAUCUAAUUGAGUGAGUGCUUAUUAUCUAGGCAUUUCCAGACCUUAGUCACCCGUGAGCAGCAGUGAGAUGUGGUAAUGAGUCUGCACUAGUGGGCUUAGUGUUAACGGCAGCUCUCCUAUUGUCACGUUUAUUAGGCAGGCACCAUGUGCUGAGUUUGGUAGAGGACUUUGAAAGGACAAGGUUGCUGCCUUUAAUGAGUGAACAUAUUAAGGUUUAAUGAUCUCUUACCAAAGAAUUGAUCCUUUCUUAGAUAAAGGACAAUAUAUCACUCUAGAAAUAAAGUAACACUUUAAUAGUUUUACCUCACCAAGCCUUUCAGAAUUUCAUCGAAUAAGAUUCCAAGGAUUCAUUAUACCUGAUGGUAUCACUCAGAUGCUGGUAAGGGAGGGAGACAGUGUAAUGGAGAAAAAUUUUUUGUCUGCUGAAAUGCCUUAUUGUAUAAAAUAUUUUAUAGGUGUUUCAAUAGACUCUAUCUUCUGAUGUGGGGAAAACUUUGUUUAACUAAGAAAGCACAUUUCCGAGAGUGCUGGUUUGAAGUAAAACAAUGCACUCCCAGUUUGAUUGGCUUCCCUGGUUCUGCAGUCUCUGCAUCCUGUCUUUAUUUGAAAAGGCAAGAUGCCCUCUCUUUGAGUAAUGUCAAAUUGUACACAGAAUUGCGCCUGCUUCCAGUAAGCCACUGGGGUCACUGCAGUUACAGGAACAGGUCCUUAUGCCUCAGACAUGUAAAUAAAUAGCUCUUUAGUAUUUCAGAGGCUUAUCAAUUCUGAGUGCCCAACCACAGUGCAGCUGGGCAAUUGACCACACAUUUUGGCUCACGGAUUACUCUUUCUUUGAUGUGCUCUAGCUGUGGGAUGGUCUCAACUGUCCCUCACCCUCCUCACUAGCAUUGCCCUUUUCUUCCAUUACUCUAUGCUGGCUUUGCAUAAGAGGAAAGAAAUAAUAUUUGACUGUCAAUAAACCUCUCAGUGAGCAGAGCUAUUAAGGAACAAAGUACUUUUACAUUUCAGAGUUGGUGCUUAGGUCACCAAGCUAUCCACUCUUGUAUCAAGAAGCAGUCUACCUGGCAAGAGAGUUAGAAAAUAGCCUUCACCAAGGGGCUUAGAUUUUGUCUUGUCACUUUUGAAAAGAUUAAUAUGUAUGAGCAUCUCUCUCGAGCCUCUGAAAGGAUUGCUGGGUGGAGGGUGGAAACCCAGUCACCGAAAUCCCCAUGGAGAAACGAUAAGGAGUUGGAGUGAACAGCUGCUUGAAUGGAUGCAUUAAGCUGACAUUAAAAUCACCAAAGUGUUUAAGAAAUCCACUAAUAACACCUAGCAAGGCUCAGGGGCAGAAUCGAUUUAGGGAGUUCAAGAAAUUCCACACCUGGUUUGGUGCAGUAAACCCCAAAGUCAUUAUGAAGAAUUAGUUAAGCCCCUUGUUCCUCCUGCAUUUAUUUUCCCUGAUCCUAUUUAGUUCCUUCUUCAAUUUGCGAAUACACAGGUGUAUGCUGAUCUCAGCAGCUCAUGAAUAUUUGAAAACUAAACUUUCUUGCAAAGGAAUUUAACAAACAAAAGUUUCAAAGCACUGCCUUAAAUUCACAUUGUCUGACCCCUCAAGCCCAAGGAAGCAUUUGGUAAUGCUUUGACUAAGAGAAAAGGUGGAAAUACUGUAGUCUGUGACUGUGGACCUUUCAGGGCCACUGUCGGUUUAGUAUGACAAUAUGCAUCAUUCAUGUGACAAGCAUUUAUUGAGCACAUACUAUGUGUUAAGACUCUGCUUGGUGCUGGAGAAUAUAGCUAUGAAGAAGACAAAUGUAUCCCUAGUCUUUAUAGCGCUUAUAAUCUUAUGGGAAGAUGAAGAUAUGUAAGAGGCAUAAGCAGGCAAUUUUAAAAUAUAGAAGUAAAUGUUAUUUUUGAAGAUAAAGACCAUUUCCAUGAGAACUUUUAAUCCUGUACUUCUUCCCAUACUAAUUUAAUCCUACACAGAUACCAUGGAGAUGUUUUAUUAACUGUGUGAUUGAUAGUAGAACAUAUUGAUUGAUUUUGUCCCUGGCACUUGAUUGGGUGUCAUAAUGAAUGCUGGAAAUAGAAUCCAAAGGAACUUUAAUAUAUUUAAGGGCCAGGCAUGGUGGCUCACACCUGUAAUCCCAGCACUUUGGGAGGCUGAGUUGGGUGGAUCACAAAGUCAGGAGUUUGAGACCAGCCUGACCAACAUGGUGAAACCUCAUCUCUACUAAAAAUACAAAAAUUAGCUGGGCAUGGUAGCACAUACCUGUAAUCCCAGCUACUCAGGAGGCUGAGGCAGGAGAAUUGCCUGAACCCAGGAGGCAGAGGUUAUAGUGAGCCAAGAUUGUGCCACUGUACUCCAGCCUGGGAGACAGAGAGAGACUUCAUCUAAAAAAAAAAAAAUUAUUGGGAGGCCAAGACGGGUGGAUCACGAGGUCGAGAGAUCGAGCCCAUCCUGGUCAACAUGGUGAAACCCCAUCUCUACUAAAAAUACAAAAAAUUAGCUGGGCAUGGUGGCACAUGCCUGUAAUACCAGCUACUGGGGAGGCUGAGGCAGGAGAAUUGCCUGAACCCAGGAGGCGGAGGUUGCAGUGAGCCGAGAUCGUGCCAUUGCACUCCAGCCUGGGUAGCAAGAGUGAAACUCUGUCUCAAAAAAAAAAAAGAAAAACAAAAAAAAAAUUAUAUAUAUAUAUAUAUAUAUAUAUAUAUAUAUAUAUAUUUUUUUUUUUUUUUUU